UCCAUAAUUAACCAACUUAUAAGAUUAGGCAAACGCUUAAAUUCAAAAUCUUAUAGUUGAAUUAAGAAGUCUUACCCAUCAGCAAUAUUUCUCAAAUUCCAUCCAGAUAAAUUUGCUGCUUCAGUAAGUGCAGCUUUCCACUUUUCCAUUCUUUCAGCUCCAACCAAUCGUUCCUUGUGUUUUCCAAAGCUUCGUCAAAGGAUCCAGUUUGCCUUCGCACUUGAGAAGGAUCAACAUCAUAGAAAAUAGGCAAAACUACCUGAUUUUAACCUCUCUUUGCAAUCGAGAAUUUUGACAAGUUCAUCAAGACACCAACUAGACGAAGCAUAAUUUUUGGAGAAAACAACAAUGGCAAUUCUAGAUUGUUCAAUUGCUUUGUCAAGUUUGUUUGAAAUGACGUCUCCCUUUCUCAAUUCCUCAUCAUCUAUGAAAGUAUUAACUCCGACUUGACACAAUCGAAAAUAAAAAUGACCUGUGAAGUUUUUGCGAGUAUCUUCACCUCUAAAACUCAGAAACACAUCAUAAGAGAAGUUGGAAGAAGAAGAUGAUUCUCCUUGAGUAUUCAUAUUUGAUGACAAUAUAUGGAAUAAUUAGGCGAUUUUUAGUUGAAUGAAAGAAAGAUGAGUGAAGCAGCUACAGGUAAUAAUUUGUUCCUGGAAACCCAAUUUUGGGUCAACUCAUUUACAAUCCCUAAAAAAGUUAAUCCCUAGAUAGUUCACGUGUCUAUAUUUUAAAAGUAGAUAUAUUGACAUAAAUUUAGAUGGUAAAAAGUACUCCUUUUCUCUUUAAUUAUUUCUUCAUUUUUAAUUUGAUAGACCUAUUAAGAAAACUGUAACUUGCAUCUAGUUAAAAAGAAUGUUGAAAUAUUGAGUUUUAUGAAUUUGAUUUUAUUUUACUUUCUACAAAAGUUGUGUGAUCAUUUGGUAAUGGCCAUUACUAUUGCUCAAAGUUUUUAAACAUGAAAUAUAACUAAUACGAUAAUAAUUUUAAUAUAGCUUACUAAAAUAUUCAAGAUAAUAAAUGGAGAUGAUUAAAGUUUUUGGUCAAAAUCAUCCUCAAACUAUAGUCUAGAUUUUGGAUACAUCCUUGCAUUAUUAUACUGAACGAAAAACAUCAUUCAUCUAUCUAAAAAGUUUCAAUAGUCAUCCUUCUGUUAAUUUUUGUCAAAAACUACCGUCAAAACAUGUGUCAAGCAUGUGGCUUUUCCUCUAAAUCUCCUAAUUUUAAUCGUCUUCUGCACUAUAUUUUGAGCUAUUGUACACUCCCUCCGAUCAUGUCUCCUCGAGAAGUACUUGUUAAAUUAUUCUAUUGUAUCUUAUAUUAACUUUAAUCAAGUAAAUUAUUACAAAGUAAGAUAUCAACUUAGAACAUGUUUUAACUGUAACUGUUAGAGGUCGUUUGGUAGAGUGUAUUAGGAAAAAUAACGCAUGCAUUAGCAUUGUGUAUUACUAGUACCUUGUUUGGUACUCUUUUCCAACCUAUGUAUAACUAAUGCUUGCAUUAGUUAUACACUCUGAUCUAUUGUGUAUUAAGGUGUGUAUUGCUAAUACCAUGGAUUUCUAGGUAUUAGCAAUGCAAUGGUUUUAAUGCAUGCAUUAGAUUAACUAAUGACAAAACUACCCUCUAAGCCUAAUAAUAAUAAUAAUAAUAAUUAUAAUAAUAAUAAUAAUUAUAAUAAUAAUAAUAAUUAUAAUAAUAAUAAUAAUUAUAAUAAUAAUAAUAAUUAUAAUAAUAAUAAUAAUUAUAAUAAUAAUAAUAAUUAUAAUAAUAAUAAUAAUUAUAAUAAUAAUAAUAAUUAUAAUAAUAAUAAUAAUUAUAAUAAUAAUAAUAAUUAUAAUAAUAAUAAUAAUUAUAAUAAUAAUAAUAAUUAUAAUAAUAAUAAUAAUUAUAAUAAUAAUAAUAAUUAUAAUAAUAAUAAUAAUUAUAAUAAUAAUAAUAAUUAUAAUAAUAAUAAUAAUUAUAAUAAUAAUAAUAAUUAUAAUAAUAAUAAUAAUUAUAAUAAUAAUAAUAAUUAUAAUAAUAAUAAUAAUUAUAAUAAUAAUAAUAAUUAUAAUAAUAAUAAUAAUUAUAAUAAUAAUAAUAAUUAUAAUAAUAAUAAUAAUUAUAAUAAUAAUAAUAAUUAUAAUAAUAAUAAUAAUUAUAAUAAUAAUAAUAAUUAUAAGUUGAAGAUAAACUAACAGAAGGAUGAGUAUGCAAUUUUUGGGUAAGAUAGAGGGAUGUUUCUUAUCCAUGAUUAUAUUAGAAUGAUGUACUUUAGAUUUGUGCCAUAGUUGAGAGAUGAUUUCAGUUAAAAAUUUAAAAUACUUUAAUUAAAAUUAAUACGAUUUCUUACCUACUUCCUAAUUGGGAACUUUGUAUUUAUGAUAAAGAAGUAUAAAAAAAUUAUCCCGAACCCAACCAAUAAAUGUUUUUUUAUAAAAUUUAGAACCUAUAGUUUUUUAAUCUUCCAGGGUCCCAUUUUUCUAUGGAUUGAAUCAUCAUAAUAUUUUAUGACAAAAUACUGUAAAAUGGUGUAUGAUUGUAUGGCAUAUAUACCAUUUGUAUAUUCCCCAAAAUCAAUGAUAACCAUUUGUCUCUAACUUUAAUUUUGAAUUGUACUAAUUGAAUAUAUUAAUUGUACAAUACACAUUUAUUUAGUUCAAAGAUUUCCUCUUUGUACUUUAAGCUUCGGAAUGUAUUGUUUUCCUCAUUUUAUGAAGUGUUAUUAGAAAAAAAAAAAAAAAAAGCAUAAUACAUAAACAUGUGAUAUUUAAAUUUGGUCUUAGUUAAAUUAUCCAAUUUAUAAAAUGAUCAUUUAGACUCUUCCAAAAAUUAUUUGUUACGUUAAUGUAGGAUGUCCAUGAGAUACAUUGAGGCCAAGUUGGAGUGUUUAGUUGUUAGUUGAUAGCAAGUUAAAAUAUCUAGACUUGCACUUUCAAAGUUAGAGACUGAUUUUAUGUUGUUUUUUAUUUGUGUGUCUAAUUAUGAUGUUUUAUUCAUAUGGUUUUGAUUUGUGAAUGAAUUUUGAUUUUGCUCAUGUUAUUGUUGAUGGAUUCAUUUUCAGUCACUACUUAAUUAGUUACUAGAUGUGGAUUAAGAUUUUGAGUUUGUAAAUUCUAGAUCACAAUCGAUCUUUUUUGAAGUUUGUUGGAAUGUCAUAACAUAAAUACAUGAUUUGAAUCAAAGUUAUUGAGUUUGAUCAAACCCGUAGAUCCUAUACACGGUGGAUGAGAGAAUUAGAAAUAAUUGGACAAAAUUCAUUUAGGAGUCAUUUGCAAAUGAGAUUGUAUUUGGAUGAGAAUUUUGAAUAUAUUACAUGUUGAUAGUAGUGUCUGAGGUGUUAUAUACAAAUACUUUUAGAACAAACUUUUUUCUUACAUAACGAACACAAAAAGCAAGUAAGAAACUGUAACAUCCGGUAAUUUGAAAUAACUAUGAAGAAGCUUGAAAUUGGAAAUAGUCAUUUUUGGAAAGAAUUCAAAAAUCUGGAAAUUUAGCUAAGUAUGGAAAAAGUGAGUUUUUGGUCAACUUCGAACAGUCAUAACUCCUAGCUCAGGAUGAGUUAGGUGUAUUUCCAGUUAUGUUUGCGAAUCCCUUGGAAUGAUCUUUCCAACGCCGCUGAGUUUGCUCGAUUCCGAGUUCGUAUGAGUGAGUUAUGCCCUUUGGAAGUUGGGCUGUUGGCAUAGGGAAGUUCAUCCGAAUUAGUAAGGGUAUUUUGGUCUUUUCCCUAACCAUUUCUUUUGGUUAUAUUAAGGGUCUAGGAUGAUAAAAAAAUCAGUUUUCCCUUUUAAAAGUGAGAGUUAGGGUUCUUGAGAGAAAAGGAGAGAAGAGGAGAAAGAGAAGAAGAAGCAAAGUUCGUCAAGAUCGUCGUGGUUUUCGUCGGGGGUGAUCCCUAUUAAGGUAUGUGAGAUCAUAGUGUUGGGUUGGUUCAUUCCCCCACACGCCAAACUCGUUUUAAUUUCCGAGAAAAGAUUGGUUGUGUUUGUUGAAGAUUUGGUUAUGUUUGUUGAAGUUUGUGCCUGGUUGUGUUUGUUGAAGUUUCUUGUUGGUUUGGUACAUGUUUCCGGUUGUGUUUUCGAGUUGAAUCUAUUGUAUGUUGAGGGGUUUUAGGAUUCUAAGUGUUUGGGGCUGGAACCUUUGAAGUUAAGGUUGUUUAGAGUUGGAAAAACAAGGGAGAAAAGUCGAGUUUUUUGGGGAAAGGGCUGGCGCGUUGAGCCAGCCAGCACGCCUAAAAAGGGAUUUUGAACUUCCACCCUUGGGGCGGCGCGCCAUGCAGAGCGCCCCACCAGCCCUUCUGAACUUUGAGGGCUGGCGCCCCGCGCCUCUCAGAGCGCCAAGGACGCCAAGUCUUCCCAUUCAUUCCCCACUUUUUCAUACAUGUUCCUUAGCAAUGUACCUAUGUUUUAUAGUUGUUUUCAACACUCCAAGGUACGUCUAAACAUCAAGAACUCAUCCAUAAACAUGAGAUCUUUACCCUUGAAUUCAUAAUCCGAUUCGAGGAAAGUUCGGACCAAAGUCAAGUGAAGUUAGAGUCAAGCUUAGAAGUUAAGAAGUAAGUCGAAGCAAGUCUUUAAAGUUUUUCAAGAGUCUUUAUUGAACGUUUUAACUUCAUUUUAAGACUCAAGUUUCAAGGUGAGUAAAGAGUAUAGAGUUUCAAGUUAAGUAAAGAGUAUAGAGUUUCAAGUUGAGUAAAGAUUAUAGAGUUGAGUUCAUUUCUCAAGAGUUAUUAGGGAACUAAGUAUUCCCAAAGAAGUUUAGAAAUGUUUUCACAUUUGAGUAAGAAAGGAACAAUGAUUUCCAAAAGAGCCUUUGGGCUAGUUUUCAAGAAAAAGAAACAUCGAUUCCAAGUGAGCCUUUGGGCUAGAUUUUGAGCAAUUAUCUCAAACUAAAGAAAGAUGUGUUUAAAACACUUAUGAGCUAAAGUAUAUUUUGGGAGUAGUCUUGAGCACUGAAUUGGGGACACGAGUUCAUAUUAACUCAACUCUCCAUAAGAACCAUGUAGCCAACAUGGGAGUUAACGGGUCAUACUUUUUAGAUGAACCCGUAAAGUUAAGCUAGUGGAUCCACUUAGUAAAGUUAGCUUGUUAACGAGUCAUACUUUUUAAAUAAUCACGUAAGAUUAAGCUAGUGGAUCCACUAAGUUAAGUAAGGUCCUAUAUCACGGCAAGGUAUAGGAUGUUCCUUGGCCAACGUGAGGUAAAACGUUGUAUCAUCACUAGGGCUCAUAGUGGUGGUUGUCGGUUAAAGAAUCUCCUACUAAAGUUAUAUUACUUUUAUAUAAGUAAAGUUGAGUUUGUUAUUGUUUUAUCCUUAACGAACUAAGUGGUUUACACUGUUUUUACAAGCUUUAUAUAUUGCAUGUGUCUUAUUGCUUUAUAUUGAGUUCGGUUGUUCAUGAGUCGAACAGAGCUAAGGUAAGAGUUCCUUUGUAUUCCUUUCAAGCUUAAGUUGUUGUUAGCUUCCCAGCUCGCAUACUCGUACAUUCAAUAUACUGAUGCCAGUUUGACUGCAUCUUAUUAUGAUGCAGACGCAGGUACCCAGGAUCAGCAUCCAGCACGCCGUUGAUCCAGCUGAGCACUCCAGAGUCAGUGGUGAGCCUCUUUACUUUCCGGAGGACUCUAUUAUUUCGUUUUCCUAGUUUUGUUUUAUUAGGAUGUUGCGGGGUCUGUCCCAACAUCCAUCUCAGUGUUAUAGAAGCUGCAUAGACAGUCAGUCAGUUAGUAUUGAGUCUCUCAUCUAUGUAUAUAUGUAAAUAUUCUAUUUUGAGACACGAGUUGCCUUUUGGCCAGAUUUUAUCAGUUAGGUUGUUUUAUGACCUUUCAUUGCAUUGAGUUAUUCUGUCGAGUUAAGUUUCCACUGAGUUAAGAAAGUUGGGCCAAGGGUUUGCUUGGGGCCAGCAAUGGUCUUCAAGUGCCAGCCACGUCCAGGGUGUAGACUUGGGGCGUGACAAUCUCUUUUAAGAAAAAGAUGAGUUUUGCGAAAGAGUUUCUAAAACAUGAUUAGUAUGACAAUCGAGUAUGUUAUCAAUGUUUAAACAGUAUGGUCUCUAGAUAUACCAUCAAUGUUUAUGAAGUAUGACUUCUCGAGUCAUCAAUGAUCAUAUUAAAAUAUGGUUUUGAUAUGUUUCUUUUUUUUUAAAACAGUUUUCAAGAGCAAUUACCUCUUUUAAGAGGGUAGUUUUGAGUAAUUUUCUCAAACUAAAUAAAGAAGUUUGUUUUAAAGCUUAUGAGCUAAAGUAUAUUUUUGGGAGUAGUCUUGAGCACCGAAGUGGGUAUACGAGUUCAUAUUAACUCAACUCUCCAUAAGAACCAUGUGGCCAACAUGAGAUUUAACGGGUCAUACUUUUUAAAUGAUCACGUAAGUUAAGCUAGUGGAUCCACUAAGUUAAAGUUAAAGUAAGGUCCUAUAUCACGGCAAGGUAUAGGAUGGUCCUUGGGCAACGUGAGGUAAAACGUUGUAUCAUCACUAGGGCUCAUAGUGGUGGUGAUCGGUUAGAGAAACUCCCAUAGUAGAAAUGGUUCCUCGAGGGGUUCUGCUUAGUAUGGAUGGGGGUAUGGGACUUCACUCAUACAUUGCACAAGUAGACCUUGAAAGGAAGCAUGGUAUUUUAUGAUAUUAUAANNNNNNNNNNNNNNNNNNNNNNNNNNNNNNNNNNNNNNNNNNNNNNNNNNNNNNNNNNNNNNNNNNNNAUGGGGGUAUGGGACUUCAUUCAUGCAUUGCACAAGUAGACUUUGAGAGGGAGCGUGAUAUUUUUAUGAUAUUAUAAAUGUGAUUUUUGACGUCAUGUUUUAAUAGUUUUACAAGCUUUAUAUAUUGCAUGUGCGUUAUUGCUUUAUAUUGAGUUUGGUUAUUCAUGAGUGUCUGUCCCAACAUCCAUCUCAGUAUGUUAGUGGCUUCAUAGACAGUCAGUCAGUUAGUAUUGAGUCUCUCAUCUAUGCAUAUAUAAAUAUUCUAUUUUGAGACGAGUUGCCUAUUGGCCAGAUUUUAUCAGUUGGGUUGCUUUAUGACCUUUCUUUGCAUUGAGUUAUUCUGUUGAGUUAGGUUUCCGCUGAGUUAAGAAAGUCAGGCCAAGGGUUCACUUGGGGUCAGCAAUGGUCUUCGAAUGUCGGUCCCGCCCAGGGUGUAGGCUCGGGGCGUGACAGAAACCUACUUAUUCUCCGAAAAAGCAUUUUUCAAAAAGACAUUUUAGAGGCAUUGUUAUCAUUUGGUAGAUCCAGGUUCAUGGCCUAUUUCUAUGGAACACAUUCUCCAUAGUACCGAACACAGUCUCAGAACUUUGUUUGUUGAUAUCCACUGUUAUGGACCUCACUUGUGGAAUUUCAUUGGAUGUGUUGUUGAUGUUUGAGUUGAUAUGCCGUGCUGAAAAUCUUUGUGGGUAGGAGGGAGUAUAAGAAUGAUCCACAACUCCCGGCAACGAUGUAAUAAGAAAUUUGUUUGUUAUGUAUAAAAGAAUUAUCCCGAACCUGGCCUUUUUUCAUAAAAUUCAGAACCUAUAAUUUUUUAAUCUUCCCGGGGUCCCCUUUUUCUAUAGAUUGAAUUAUCAUAAUAUUUUAUGACAAAAUAUUGUAAAGGUGUAUGAAAUGGUAUAUUGCUCAAAAUCAUGGUAAUACCAUUUAUUUAUAACUUUAAAAUUUUGAAUUGUACUAAUUGAAUAUAUUAAUUUCACAAUGUACUUUUAUUUAGUUCAAAGUUUUCCUCGUUGUACUUUAAGCUUUGGAGUGUAAUGUUUUUCCGCAUUUUAUGAGGUGCUAAGAUUAGAAAAAGGCAUAAUACAUGAAUAGACGAUAUUCAAAUUUGGUCUUAAUUAAAUUCUCCAAUUUAUAAAUUGAUCACUUAGACUCUUCCAAUAAUUAUUUAUUACAUCAAUGUAGGGUGUUCACGAAAUACGAGAUACAGUGAAGCCAAAUUAAAAUAUUUAGAUGUACACUUCCACAAGAAGGUUAACCAAAAUGAAAGGGAAGUUUCCCAACAUAUUUUUUCUUAGAUAUGUCUCAUUCACUUUUACCUUUACUUUUACUUUUACGGUUACUCUUUUUUUUGUGUGUUAUAUUUGAAUUUGACAUACCACUAAAAAUAUUAUUGGGACUUCUUUUAUAUUUGUCCUUUCUUAUUGAGUAUGCUAAAGUAUACACUUAAAUUUGUAUAAAAUUAAAUAAAUAGACAUGGCGUCUUACAUGAAAAUUUGUGUCCUAUAUGUAUUACGUCACAUAAAAUGAGUAUGUCUACUUGUUCAAUUUUAUACAAGUUUAAGUGUUUAUUUGUACACAUCUAAAGUUGGAGGACAUAGAUGUCAGCAAAAACCAAGUUAAAUGACAUAUAUUUUUUUUUAUAUCUUUAGAAAUAUUCAAAAGAAUAAUAGUGAAAAGUAAAUUUUGAUUUUUGUCUUUAAAUUUAAGCGGUACAAACUUCUUUUCUUAUACAACUAGGAUAACAGUUCUCUCUUGAUAUGUCACCUCUUUCACAUUAAUUGUCGUCCUAACUCUUUGUUUAAACUUCUUUGUUGGCAUCUCAAAGUCAAUCAUUCUUUGAAUCUCUUUCACAUUUUUAAGUGAAUUGAAAUAAAUGGACAAAAUUCAUUUAGGAGUCAUUUGCAAAUCAGAUUGUAGUUGGAUGAGAAUGUUGAAUAUUACAGAUUGAUAGUAGUGUCUAAGGUGACUGUUAUAUACAAAUACUUUAAGAACAAACUUUUUUCUUACAUAACGAACGCAAGAAAAUAAGUAAGAAAUCUACUUAUUCUCCGGAAAAACAUUUUCCAAAAAGACAUUUUAGAGGCAUUGUUAUCAUUUGGUAGAUCCAGGUCCAUUGCCGAUUUCUAUGGAACACAUUCUCCAUGGUUCCGAACACACUCUCAGAACUUUGCUCGUUGAUAUCCACUGUUACGGACCUCACUUGUGGAAUUUCAUUGGAUGUGUUGUUGUUGUUUGAGUUGAUAUGCCAUGCUGAAAGUCUUUGUUGUUGUUUGAGUUGAUAUGCCAUGCUGAACGCUUUAUAUGGGCAACAGUAACAGCGAAGUGUUCAAGCUCAUGUGCAUCGCAAAGGCGGCAAACAAACCAGAGAACCAUUCCUAAGAACUUGUUAUUAUGUACUGUGGGCAUAGUCAAACAAAUAAGAUAAAAGAAUUUACUGACUUUAUUUCCUUGUAGAACAUCUCGGACUUAUUGAGGUUUGAACAAUCUACUCAAUUUUCUAGAGUCUCGAGGUGAUUCCAUACGAACAAUUUCUCUUCCCAUAUCUCGCACUAGAUCAUGCAUCACCAAAUAACGCCAAUCCCUUUGGAGAAAGUUCCUUUGGACUAAGGUUGAAAUUGCACUUUCAGAAUAAAAACCACACGCGUUUAAUGUUUUGAUAACUUCAUCCUCAAAAAAUUCAUGGAAGGCACACGCAAUAUCAAGGAAAACACUUUGAGUAUCACAAUCAAGUCCGUCAAAGCUUAUCUUGAGGAUCUUUUGAAUAUCACAAUGAGGAAUUGCUCUUAGUUUUUUGAACUCGUAUCUCCAUUCUUUAACGGAUCUCCCUCACAAUCAAGUCCGUCAAAGCUUAUCUUGAGGAUCUUUUGAAUAUCACAAUGAGGAAUUGCUCUUAGUUUUUUGAACUCGUAUCUCCAUUCUUCUACGGAUCUCCCUUGUAAAUGUGACCCCAAUGUCACAAGAGCUAACGGUAGCCCACCUGAAUAUUUGAUUAUGCUUUGUGCAACCUCAACAUAUUCUUGUGGCGGAGAAGGACUACUAAAAGCAUGACAAGAAAAAAGUUGUUGAGCUUCAUCUUGAUUUAAAUGUUUUGCCUUGUAUCUCUCGUUUUCUCUAAUCCGAGAUAGCAAAUGCUUGUCUCGGGUUGUAAUAAUUAUUAAACUACCAGAACCAAACCAACUUCUUUCUCUUGUUAAGGAUUCUAAUUGGCUCAUAUAAUCCACGUCAUCAAGAAUAAUUAGAACCUUCUUUGACCCAAGUCUUGCUUUGAUUAGAUUGAUGCCUUCAGCAACACUGGUAACUUUGACGUCCUUAGUUUUGAGAAUUUGAUUUAGUAGUUUUUCUUGUAACUUGACUAAACCAAAUGCUUCAGCUUCUGAUCUAACAUCUGAAAGGAAGCAACUAAUAUCAAAGUGUCGAAAUAUUUGAUUGUAGAUAGCUUUAGCCAGAGUUGUUUUUCCUAUUCCACCUACGCCAUAUAUACCAACCAUGCGAACUUCAUCUACACAUCCUUUUUGGAGUAACAACUCUAUAUCUUCGACACGAGAAUCUACUCCAACAGGAUGCCAAGCAAUAUCUAGAGGUGUCUGGUUUACCUCUAGUAGAACUUGUUUUACAAUACUUUCAAUAAAUUUUGAUUCAUGUCUGCAUAUUAGCAAAAACAAAAGUUAGAAUAAAAAAAACAACUUUGAUGUGUGGAAAAAAAAUAAUUGAUAACCAACUUAUGACUUUUGACUGAUAAGUCAGUUUGACCAGUUUAUAAAUAUUACCCGUCAACAACAUUUCGCAAAUCCCAUCCAGAUAAAUUUGCGCUAAUUCAGUAAGUGAAUCCGUCCAUUUUUUCAUUCUCUCAACCUCGAAUGAUCGCUCCUUAAGCAUAGCUAAAACUUCACCAAAGUAUCCGGUUUGCUUGCGUACAUGAGAAGGAUGAACAUCAUAGAAAAUAGGCAAAACUAUUUUCUUUAACUUGUCUUUGCAUUCGAGAAUUUUAACAAGUUCAUCAAGACACCAACUAGACGAAGCAUAAUUUUUCGAGAAAACAACAAUGGAAACUCUAGACUCUUCAAUUGCUUUCUCAAGUUCUUUUGAAAUCACCUUGCCUUUUCUUAAUUCCUCAUCAUCUAUGAAGGUAUUAAUUCCAACUUGACAUAAUCUGGAAUAAAGAUGACCUGUGAAGGUUUUUCGAGUAUCUUCACCUCUGAAACUCAGAAACACGUCAUAAGAGAAGUUGGAAGAAGUAGUUGAUGAUUCCCCUACAACAAAUUGAGUAUUCAUAUUUGAUGACUAAUAUAUGGAAGAAUGAGUAGCUAUCUAUAUAAUAUACCAUGCACAUGCUAUGGUUUUUUCUUGGUAACUUAACUAAUGCUAUAUAUUCUUUAAUUUAUUUUGUACAAUUAUUCUUCAUUAAAUUUUGUUAAUUGGGACUUUUUUUUUAAUGAUUCUUUACCUUUUGUCUCAUCUUUAAUUUGUUAAAGACUUGAAUGAUAAAAAGUAAGAUUCUUUCUUCCUUGAAAACUCAAAAGUUCAUCUCUCCACAUAAUUAUGAUGAUGUUAAGCUUGAUGUCAUAAUCUUUUAAUAAUGGAAUUGAAAACAUCGAUUUGUUCUCAAUUCACAAGUUGGAUUAAACUUUUUUUUCUUUUUUACCUAAUCAAGUAGUAUCGCAUAAAUUAUAACGAUAAUUUUUUAAAAGAAAUUAAAACACUUUGUAUUAAUAGUAAAAACUAGGAAACUUUGUCGUAAUAAAACUAACUACUAGUCUAUUGCAACUAUUAAACAAGUAAACAACUAAUAAAACUAAUUGGAUCACUCUUACUGAACCAUUGGUCUUAAUCCUAUACCUAUCAUACUGAUAUAGAGGUGAAUUCAGAACUUAAAAUUUAUGAAUUCUUAUAAAAAAUAAAUAAAUUUAUGAAUGAUAAUAAUUGAGUUCAUAAUCAAAUUAUAUUAAUUACUUAAUGAUUUUCUUAGUACAUAUAAAUAAUAUGAAUAAAAUCUAUUGAGUUCACACUAACCUCUCUAUAAUAAUCAAAUCAGUAAUUUUGAUCCAAAUUGAACUUUGUAUUUAUGAUAAUAAAUUUGUUUGUUAUGUGUAAAAAUAAUAUCCGGAACCCGAUCCGACCAGUAAAUGCUUUUUAUAAAAUUGAGAACCUAUAAAUAUAAAAUCGAAAUGCCAGUAGCAGUCAUAGUAUUUGGAACAAAGAAAAGCAAGGGAAUAACAAACCAUAUCUUCUGCUCCAACUUCACUUUCUUUAUAGUAUUUUUGAAAGGAAAAAAGGGAAUAGAAUUAAAUAUUAUCAGAAUGCCAACCAAAUAUUGAUUUUGUGCUCUAUCCUUACUGUGGGAAAAAAAAGAAAAUGUAAUUUAUUUGUGCAGUUUUUUAAUCUUCCAGGCGUCCCAUUUUUCUAUGGAUUGAAUUAUCAUAAUAUUUUAUGACAAAAUACUGUAAAAUGGUGUAUGACUGUAUGGGAAAUAUAAUAUUUGUAUAUUCCUCAAAAUCAUGAUAAUACCAUUUGUUUCUAACUUUUUAAUUGUACUAAUUGAAUAGAUUAAUUGUACAAUAUACUUUUGUUUAGUUCAAAGUUUUCCUCUUUGUACUUUAAGCUUGUGUGUCACGUCAGUAUAGGGUGUCCACGAGACACAUUAAGGGUGAGUUGGAGUGUUUAGCUGUUAGUUGAGAUGUCUAUAUGUACACUUUUAAUUAGUUACGCUUGCGAAAUUUUAAUUGGAUGACAAAACUAGGAUCGAAGUUUCGAGUGGUUAGCAUCUGACGGAUGAAAAAAAAAUCUAAAUGAAAAAUACUUUUUAGCGAAUCAGCUUGUAGUUGGAUGAGAAUUUUGAAUAUUACAGAUUGAUAGUAGUGUCUUAGGUGUUAUAUACAAAUACUUUAUGAACAAACGUUUUUCUUACAUAACGAUCACAAGAAAAUAAGUAAGAAACCUACUUAUUCUCCGGAGAAACAUUUUCCAAAAAGACAUUUUAGAGGCAUUGUUAUCAUUUGGUAGAUCCAGGUCCAUGGCCUACUUCUAUGGAACACAUUUUCCAUGGUACAUAACACAUUCUCAGAACUUUGCUCGUUGAUAUCCACUAAUACGGACCUCACUUGUGGGAUUUCACUGGAUGUGUUGUUGUUGUUUGAGUUGAUAUACCAUGCUGAAAGUCUUUGUGGGUAGGAGGGAGUAUAAGAAUGAUCCACAACUGCCGGGAAAGAAGUAACAUUACCAUGUUGAUCUACAUAUAAUAGACGUACUCCUAUCUUCUUUACAACGGCUCCGCCAGUGCGAUCCUCUACUGUUAUCUGUUCCCCGCCUUUGAUCUUCAGGCCAUUAAAAGGUCUAUUGUUUGAGUAAGAGAAGUAAUAUACACGUGAUAUUUCUCCCUGACUGUCAGGUAUAUUAAAAUGCGAACUCCACCAAAAAGUUGAAGACUCUACAUGGGCAACAGUAACAAUGAAGCUUUGAAGAUAGGAGGAUACAUUGCCAAAGUGGCAAACAAACCAGAGAACCAUUCCCAAGAACUUAUUAUUAUGUACUGUGGGCAUAGUCAAACAGAUAGAUGGAGCUGUUACUUUAUUGCUGCACCAAUCUGGAAUCUCAUUGCUUUCGAGAUUAAUUUGUAAUGACAUCUUCAUCAGACAAAUUAAGACACAAUUAGAUCAUUAAUUAUUAAUGUGAUACGAGGGAGAGAUCAGAGAGGGAGAGGGACUAACCUUAUACCGUUGAUGUUUUCUAGACGGAAUUGAUAGAGCAUGGGCACUAAAGAAGCCUUCAUUGAAUGGAUUCUGCAGACGAGUACAAUUAAUCAUGUCCACCUUCUCUAUUGAAGGGAGGUAGUCCGACCCUGUAAUCUUGACCAGUUUUUGGCAAUUCCUAAGUUCAACAAUUGCAAGGUGCUCUAAAUUUGAUAUUGACGGGAGUGUUUGAAGGUUCUCACAAUCAUUCAAAUAUAAGGACGUCAACAAUGGUAACUUGGAAAAAUCAAAGGGUAGAUAGAGGAAACUGUUGCCGCUCAAAUCUAAAAAAUAUAAGUUGGAUAAACUCCCAAUAUCCCUAGGAACAUCAGCCUCCGAGAAACCACAAUAUGAAAGGCGUAGAUUCAAAAUAAAUUUUGACAAGGACACUAUGGGGCGUACUCUUCUUUGAGAAAAACUCCUUUUGGCCUUUAAGUAUUGGCCUCCCAUUUCCAAUUCUACAAGAUUUCGUAGCAUUUCAACAGAUCCAGGCAAUUGUUUUAUACCUGUUUCACGUGCAUUAAGAUAUCUUAGGCUUUGCAUAGCUCCAAUGUUAACUGGCAGUGUUUGUAAAGACGAGCAGUCAUUAAUGUACAAGGUUUUAAGGGAUUUUAGCUGGCAUAUGCUGCUCGGAAGAUCCGUAAUAUUUUUUGCAACCAUUCAAUUGAAGAUCAGUUAGUCUGUCCAAAUUUCCUAUUGAUGGAUGGAUCUCCUUCAGACUUGAAGCAAUUCUCAAGCAACAAAGUCUCGAGACUUCGUGAACCGUUGAAGUUUGGAGUUUUUCUGAGGCGCUUGCAAUCAGAGAGAUCCAGCAUUUUCAAAUUUCUACAAUACUAAAAGUAAACAAAAUAUUGUUUCAAUUAAGAUUUUCUUUCCCUUAAACAUUACACAUAAAUUUGCAAAAUUGAGUAACGAACCUGCAAAUUCAAACCAAAUUCUAGGAUAUUGCUCCCUUUCAUAUUCAGAAAUACAAGUUUCUCAGAUGGAAAAUUUGAUGGUACACAUUUUAAAGGACAUCCUUUCCAAGACAGCCAUCUGAGCUCCUUGGACAAUAGCUCAAAAUCUCCACUAAUAUGUAAAGUCGUCGAUUUUUAAGCACCCUAAGAUUUAUCAUUUUCUGAAAUGCUUUUGGUGUUCAGCUUCACACCCUUUAAUGCCUGUCGUUCUACCACCAAUAUUUCUACAUUUUUAGAACCCUACAGUUUAGUAAAAAGAAAAGUACUAUAAGACCAUGUUAAGUAUGAUAAAUUAAGAAAGAGAAAUGCUUUAUACAAAUUGAAGGUCAAACAAAUAGAAUAAAUUAUGUACCAAUAAAAAAAAAAUUACACAUUAUAUCCAACUAAAGGAUGUUUAUUUGAUAAUUUUGUCUUUGAUAGUUUGUUUAGACUUCAGUAAAUGUUCAUUUCAAGUACAGAAUGGUUCAAACAUCUAAAGAUACUUACUAACGGGAGAAGAUUUAAGCACAAAUGCAUAAAUUAUAAGCAAAUGUAUAUCAAUAUGAAAAAAGAAGAAGAAGAAGUAUAACCAAGAUAAAGAUAAUGAAAUUUACUGACUUUAUUUCCUUGUAGGACAUCAAGGACUUCUUGAGGGUUGACCAAUCUACUCCGUUUUCCACUGUCUCGAGGUGAUUCCAUGCGAACGAUUUCUCUUCCCACAUCCUGCACUAGAUCAUGCAUCACCAAACGACGCCGAUCCCUUUGGAGCAGGUGUCUUUUGACUAGAGUUACAAUUGCACUUUCACAAUACAAACCACAGGCGUUUAAUGUUUUGGUAACUUCAUCCUCAUCACAUCCAUGGAAGGCGCACGCAAUAUCAAGGAAAACAUUCUGAGUAUUGUCAUCAAGUCCAUCAAAGCUUAUUUGGAGAAUCUUUUGAAUAUCAAAAUGAGGAAUUGUUCUUAGUUUUUCGAACUCGUAUCUCCAUUCUUCAACGGAUCUCCCUUGUAAAUGUGACCCCAAUGUCACAAGAGCUAAUGGUAGCCCACCUGAAUAUUUAAUUAUGUUUUGGGCCAGCUCAACAUAUUCAUGUGGUGGAGAAAGACUGUUAAAAGCAUGACAAGAAAAAAGUUGUUGUGCUUCGUUGCCAUUUAAAAGUUUGGCCCGGUAUAUCUCAUUUGUUGUAAGACCAUAAAGCAAAUGCUCGUCUCGGGUUGUAAUAAUUAUAACACUACCAGAACCAAACCAAUUUCUUUCUCUUGUUAAGGAUUCUAAUUGGCUUCUAUGAUCCACAUCAUCAAGAACAAUUAGAACCUUUUGGGACCCAAGUCUUGCUUUGAUGAGAUUAACACCUUCAGCAACACUAUCAACUUCAAAUUCCUUAGUUUUGAGGAUUUGAUGAAGUAGUUUCUCUUGAAGCUUGAUUAGACCCAAUUCUUCAGCUUUUGAUCUAACAUCUGAAAGGAAGCAACUACCACCAAACUGUAGAAAUAUUCUAUUGUAGAUGGCUUUUGCUAGAGUUGUUUUUCCAAUUCCACCAACGCCACAUAUACCAACCAUUCGAACUUCAUGCUCACAUCCACUUUGCAUUAACAACAAUAUAUCUUUGAUAGGAGAAUCUAAUCCAAUUGGAUAAUGAGCAACAUCUAGAGGUGUCUGGUUGACUUCUUGCAGAACUUGUUUUAUAAUACUUUCAAUAAAUUUUGAUUCAUGCCUACAGUUUUUUUAGCAAAAACAGUAAAAAACAAAACUUUGAUAUUUGAAAAUAUAUGAUGAACAAAACAAAAUCCAUAGCCAACAGAUAACAGGGAAAUCGAGGGUAGAGAAUGGAGAUUAUCAAUUACUAUUACUCCCUCGUUCCAAUUUAUGUGAUGCAGUCUGAUUUGGCACGGAGAUUAAGAAAUAUAAAAAGAAUUUGCAAUGUUCCAAAACUAACCAACUUAUAAGCUUAGGCAAAUGCUUAAAUUCAAAAUUCUAAAGUUGAAUUAAGAAGUGUUACCCAUCAGCAACAUUUCUCAAAUCCCAUCCAGAUAAAUUUGCUGCUUCAGUAAGUGCAGCUUUCCACUUUUCCAUUCUUUCAGUUCCAAUUGAUCGUUCCUUGUGUUUUGCCAAAGCUUCGCCAAAGGAUCCAGUUUGUCUUCGUACUUGAGAAGGAUCAACAUCAUAGAAAAUAGGCAAAACUAGCUGAUUUAACCUCUCUCUGCAAUCGAGAAUUUUGACAAGUUCAUCAAGACACCAACUAGAGGAAGCAUAAUUUUUGGAGAAAACAACAAUGGCAACCCUAGAUUGUUCAAUUGCUUUCUCAAGUUCAAUUGAAAUGACGUCUCCCUUUCUCAAUUCCUCAUCAUCUAUGAAAGUAUUAACUCCGACUUGACAUAAUCUGAAAUAAAGAUGACCGGUAAAGUUGUUUCUGGUAUCUUCACCUCUGAAACUGAGAAACACAUCAUAAGAGAAGUUGGAAGAAGAAGAUGAUUCUCCUUGAGUAUUCAUAUUUGAUGACAAUAAAUGGAAGAAUUAAGCGAUUUUUAGUUGAAUGAAAGAAAAGAUGAGUGAAGCAGUUACAGGUAAUUGUUUGUUCCUGGAAACUCAAUUUUGGGUCAACUCAUUUACAAUCCCUAAAGAAAGUUAAUCGAAACGAAAGGGAAGUUCCCAGCAUAUUUCUUAGAUAGUUCACGUGUCUAUAUUAAAAGUAGAUAUAUUUACAUAAAUUUAGAUGGCAAAAAGUAAUCUCUUUCUCUUAAUUAAUUACUUCUCCACUUUUGAAUUGACACACCUGAGUAUUAAGAAAACAAUAAGAAGUAGUAGAAAUAAUUAGGGAUGAUAAUGAGAUAGCGUGGAUGAAAGGUAGGGCGGAUUAAAGGUUAUAUGGGGCGGGGGCGGGGAGCUUUUAAGGUUGUAUGGGGUUGGGUGGAUGCAAAUUAAUGUGAGGCGGUGCGAUUUGUGGGUUCAUGUGAUUUUAUACGGAUUCAAAUUUAAUUUUAAUUGUAUAGGUUAUAAGAGUGAUGAAGCUUUCACGGAUAAAAAUACACAUGAUUUGGUAGUUAAACUAUUAGUAUUAGGAUUAGGAUAAAAUAAAGAGAAUAAUCUUGCCCUUUGUCUUGUAUUGUGUUAUAAUUCAUAUAAAAAAAUUUAUCUGAUUUGGAGUCUACUCAAUUUUCAAAAGAAAAAAAAAACUUUAAUUCAUGAUGUGCACUUUAUUUAUGCUUUUAUUUGCAUCUACUUAUUUUGACCCAACGAAAAUGAAUUUUGUUAUUUAUGCUCUGCAUAAAUUGCAUCUAGUUAAAAAGAAUUUUGAAAUAUUGAGUUUUAUGAAUUUGAUUUUAUUUUAUUUUCUACAAAAAUUGUGUGAUCAUUUGGUAAUGGCCAUUACUAUUGCUCAAAGAUUUUAAACAUGAAAUAUAACUAAUACAAUAAUAAUUUUAAUAUAGCUUACUAAAAUAUUCAAGAUAAUAAAUGAAAAUGAUUAGAGUUUUCGAUAAAACUCAUCCUCAAACUAUAGCCUAGAUUUUGGUUACAUCCUUGCAUUAUUAUAUUGAACAAAAAACAUCAUUCAUCUAUCUAAGAAGUUUCAAUAGUCAUCCUUCGGUUAAUUUUGGUAAAAAGUUAACUUGUUAUCGUCAAAAUAUGUGUAAAGCAUGUAGGUUUCCCUCUAAAUCUCCUAACCUAAAUCGUCUUCUCCACUAUAUUUUGAGCUAUUGCACUUUAGAUUUGUGUCAUAGUUGAAGGAUGAUUUCAGUAAAAAAUUUAAAAUAAUUUAAUUAAAAUUAAUACAAUUUCUUACCUACUUCCUAAUUGGGAACUUUGUAUUUAUGAUAAAGAAGUAUAAAAAAGUUAUCCCGAACCCGACCAGUAAAUGCUUUUUUAUAAAAUUUAGAACCUAUAGUUUUUUAAUCUUCCAGGGGUCCCAUUUUUCUAUGGAUUGAAUUAUCAUAAUAUUUUAUGACAAAAUACUGUAAAAUGGUGUAUGAUUGUAUGGCAUAUAUACCAUUUGUAUAUUCCCCAAAAUCAAUGAUAACCAUUUGUCUCUAACUUUAAUUUUGAAUUGUACUAAUUGAAUAUAUUAAUUGUACAAUAUACAUUUAUUUAGUUCAAAGAUUUCCUCUUUGUACUUUAAGCUUUGGAGUGUAUUGUUUUCCGCAUUUUAUGAAGUGUUACUAUUAGAAAAAAAGGCAUAAUACAUAAACAUGUGAUAUUCAAAUUUGGUCUCAGUUAAAUUCUCCAAUUUAUAAAAUGAUCAUUUAGAUUCUUCCAAAAUUAUUUGUUAUGUUAAUGUAGGAUGUCCACGAGAUACAUUGAGGCCAAGUUGGAGUGUUUAGCUGUUAGUUAAUAGCAAGUUAAAAUAUCUAGACGUGCACUUUCAAAGUUAGAGACUGAUUUUAUGUUGUUUUUUAUUUGUGUGUCUAAUUAUGAUGUUUUAUUUAUAUGGUUUGAUUUGUGAAUGAAUUUUGAUUUUGCUCAUGUUAUUGUUGAUGGAUUCAUUUUCAGUCACUACUUAAUUAGUUACUAGAUGUGGAUUAAGAUUUUGAGUUUGUAAGUUCUAGAUCUCAACCGAUCAUUUUUGAAGUUUGUUGGAAUGUCAUAACAUAAAUACAUGAUUUGAAUCAAAGUUAUUGAGUUUGAUCAAACCCGUAGAUCCUAUACACGGUGGAUGAGUGAAGCAGAAAUAAUUGGACAAAAUUCAUUUAGGAGUCAUUUGCAAAUGAGAUUGUAUUUGGAAGAGAAUUUUGAAUAUUACAUAUUGAUAGUAGUGUCUAAGGUGUUAUAUACAAAUACUUUUAGAACAAACUUUUUUCUUACAUAAUGAACACAAGAAAAUAAGUAAGAAAACCUACUUAUUCUCCGGGGAAACAUUUUCCAAAAAGACAUUUUAGAGGCAUUGUUAUCAUUUGGUAGAUCCAGGUCCAUGGCCUAUUUCUAUGGAACACAUUCUUCAUGGUACCGAACACAAUCUCAGAACUUUGUUCGUUGAUAUCCACUGUUACGGACCUCACUUGUGGGAUGUGUUGUUGUUGUUUGAGUUGAUAUGCCCGAAAGUCUUUGUGGGUAGGAGGGAGUAUAAGAAUGAUCCACAACUCCCGGCAAAGAUGUAACAUUACCAUGUUGGUCCAAGUAUAACAGAUGGAUCCCUAUCUUCUUUACUAGUCUCUGUCAGUUUCAUUCUUUACUGUUAUCUGUUCCCCACCUUUGAUGUUCAGGCCUUUAAAAGGUCUAUCAUUUACGGAAGAUAAGUAAUAUACACAUGAUACUUCUCCGUGACUGUUAGGUCUAUCAAAAGGCCAAAUCCACGGAAAACCUGUACUCUUUUUAUGGGCAACAGUAACAGCGAAGUGUUCAAGAUCAUGUACAUCGCAAAGGCGGCAAACAAACCAGAGAACCAUUCCUAAGAACUUGUUAUAAUGUACUGUGGGCAUAGUCAAACAGAUAGAUGGAGCUGUUACUUUAUUGCUGCACCAAUCUGGAAUCUCAUUGCUUUCGAGAUUAAUUUGUAAUGACAGCUUCAUCAGACAAAUUAAGACACAAUUAGAUCAUUAAUUAUUAAUGUGAUACGAGAGAGAUCAGAGAGGGAGAGGGACUAACCUCAUACCGUUGAUGUUCUCUAGACGGAAUUGAUAGAGCAGGGGCACUAAAGAAGCCUUCACUGAAUGGAUUCUGCAGACGAGUACAAUUAAUCAUGUUCAUCUUCUCUAUUGAAGGGAGGUUGUCCAACCCUGCAAUCUUGACCAGUUUUUGGCAAUUCCUAAGUUCAACAAUUUCAAGGUACUCUAAAUUUGAUAUUGACGGGAGUGUUUGAAGGUUCUCACAAUCAUUCAAAUACAAGGACAUCAACAAUUGUAACUUGGAAAAAUCAAAGGGUAGAUAGAGGAAACUGCUGCCGCUCAAAUCUAAAUGAUAUAAGUUGGAUAAACUCCCAAUAUCCCUAGGAACAUCAGCCUCUGAAAAACCACAAUAUGGAAGGCAUAGAAUCGAAAUAAAUUUUGACAAGGAUACUAUAGGGCGUACUCUUGUUUGAGAAAACCUCCUUUUGGUCUCAAAGUAUUGACCUCCCAUUUCCAAUUCUAUAAGAUUUCCUAGCAUUUCAACAGAUCCAGGCAAUUCUUUUAUACCUGUUUCACGUGCAUUAAGAAAUCUUAGGCUUUGCAUAUCUCCAAUGUCAACUGGCAGUGUUUGUAAAGAUGAGCAGUCAUUAAUGUACAAGAUUUCAAGGGAUUUUAGCUGACAUAUGCUGCUCCAAAGAUCAGUAAUCUUUUUGCAACCACUCAAUCGAAGACAAAUUAGUCUGUCCAAAUUUCCUAUGGAUGGAUGGAUCUCCUUCAGACUUGAGCAAUUCUCAAGCCACAAAGUCUCGAGACUUCGUGAACCGUUGAAGUUUGGAGUUUUUCUGAGGCGCUUGCAAUAAGAGAGAUCCAGCAUUUUCAAAUUUCUACAAUACUAAAAGUAAACAAAACAUAGUUUCAAUUAAGAUUUUCUUUCUCUUAAACAUUACACAUAAAAUUGCAGAAUUGAGUAACGAACCUGCAAAUUCAAACCAAAUUCUUGGAUAUUGCUCCCUUUCAUAUUCAGAAAUACAAGUUUCUCAGAUGGAAAAUUUGAUGGUACACAUUUUAACGGACAUCCUUUCCAAGACAACCAUCUGAGCUCCUUGGACAAUAGCUCAAAAUCUCCACUAAUAUGUAAGUGGUCUAUUUUAAGCACCCUAAGAUUUAUCAUUUUCUGAAAUACUUUGGUGCUUAGCUUCACACCCUUUAAUGCUUGUCGUUCUACCACCAAUAUUUCUACUUUUUUAGAACCCUGCAAUUUAGUAAAAAUAAAAGUACUAUAAGACCAUGCUUAAGUAUGACAAAUUAAGAAAGAGAAAUGCUUUAUACAAAUUGAAGGUCAAACAAAUAGAAUAAAUUAUGUACCGAUAAAAAUAAAUUUACACAUUAUAUCCAACUAAAGGAUAUUUAAUUGAUAAUUUUGUCUUUGACAGAUUGAGUGUUUAGACUUCAGUAAAUGUUCAUUUCAAGUACAGAAUGGUUCAAACAUCUAGAGAUACUUACUGGCCGGAGAAGAUUUAAGCACAAAUGCAUAAAUUAUAAGCAAAUGUAUAUCAAUAUAAAUGUAAAAAAGAAGAAGAAGUAUAACCAAGAUAAAGAUAAUAAAAUUUACUGACUUUAUUUCCUUGUAGAACAUCAAUGACUUCUUGAGGGUUGAACAAUCUACUCCGUUUUCCAGGGUCUUGAGAUUCCAUGCGAACGAUUUCUCUUCCCAUUUCCUGCACUAGAUCAUGCAUCACCAAACUAGACCAAUCAUCCCUUUGGAGCAAGUUCCUUUGGACUAAGGUUGAAUUGAACUUUCAGAAUAAAAACCACACGCAUUUAAUGUUUUGGCAACUUCAUCCUCAUAACAACCAUGGAAGGCACAUGCGAUAUCAAAGGAAAACACUCCGAGUAUUGACAUCAAGUCCAUCAAAGCUUAUCUUGAGAAUCUUUUGAAUAUCACCAUGAGGAAUUGCUUUUAGUUUUUUGAACUCGUAUCUCCAUUCUUUAACGGAUCUCCCUAGCAGAUGUGACCCCAAUGUCACAAGAGCUAAUGGUAGCCCACCUGAAUAUUUUAUUAUGUCUUGUGCCAGUUCAACAUAUUCUUGUGGUGGAGAAAAACAGUUAAAAGCAUGACAAGAAAAAAGUUGUUGGGCUUCAUUGUCAUUUAAAAGUUUGGCCCGGUAUAUCUCACUUGUUGUAAGCCCAUAUAGCAAAUGUUCAUCUCGGGUUGUAAUAAUUAUUACACUACCAGAGCCAAACCAACUUCUUUCUCUUGUUAAGGAUUCUAAUUGGCUUCUAUGAUCUACGUCAUCAAGAACAAUUAGAACCUUUUGAGACCCAAGUCUUGCUUUGAUGAGAUUAGCACCUUCAGCAACAUUAUCAACUUCAAAUUCCUUAGUUUUGAGGAUUUGAUUAAGUAGUUUCUCUUGAAGCUUGACUAGACCAGAUUCUUCAGUUUUUGAUCUAAUGUCAGAAAGGAAGCAACUACCAUCAAACUGUUGAAAUAUUCGAUUAUAGAUAGCUUUUGCCAAAGUUGUUUUUCCAAUUCCACCAACGCCACAUAUACCAACCAUGCAAACUUCAUGCUCACAUCCACUUUGCAGUAACAACUCUAUAUGUUUGAUAGGAGAAUCUAAUCCAGUUGGGUAAUGAGCAACAUCUAGAGGUGUCUGGUUAACCUCUCGCAGAACUUGUUUUAUAAUAUUUUCAAUAAAUUUUGCUUCAUGCCUACAGUUUUUGCAACAAUAAAUACUUAGGUAUUUAAAAAUAUUUGAUGAACAAAAUAAAAAUCAAUAGCCAAAAGAUAAAAGAGUUUAUAGAAUGGAGAAUAUAUUCCUUGUCCCUAUCUAUAUGACACAGUUUGAUUUGACACAAAAUUUAAGAAAUAUAGAAAGACUUUACAAUGUUCCAAAAUUAACCAAGUUAUAAGCUUAGGCAAACGCUUAAAUUCAAAAUUUAAUAGUUGAAUUAAGAAGUCUUACCCAUCAGCAACAUUUCUCAAAUCCCAUCCAGAUAAAUUUGCUGCUUCAGUAAGUGCAGCUUUCCACUUUUCCAUUCUUUCAGCUCCAACAAAUCGUUCCUUAUGUUUUGCCAAAGCUUCGUCAAAGGAUCCAGUUUGCCUUCGCACUUGAGAAGGAUCAACAUCAUAGAAAAUAGGCAAAACUACCUGAUUUAACCUCUCUUUGCAAUCGAGAAUUUUGACAAGUUCAUCAAGACACCAACUAGAGGAAGCAUAAUUUUUGGAGAAAACAACAAUGGCAACCCUAGACUGUUCAAUUGCUUUCUCAAGUUCAAUUGAAAUGACGUCUCCCUUUCUCAAUUCCUCAUCAUCUAUGAAAGUAUUAACUCCAACUUGACACAAUCGGAAAUAAAGAUGACCUGUGAAGUUUUUCCGAGUAUCUUCACCUCUGAAACUGAGAAACACAUCAUAAGAUAAGUUGGAAGAAGAAGAUGAUUCUCCUACAACAAAUUGAGUAUUCAUAUUUGAUGACAAUAAAUUAAAGAGAUUUUUAGUCAAUUUUUUGCUUAAUUAAUUAAAUAGAGAUGUGAAGCAGCUAUUUAUAUACCCACAAGUACUUGUUUGUUCCUGGAAAUUUAAUUUUGGGUCAAGUCAUUUACAAGCCCCAAAGAAGGUUUACAGAAAUGAAAGGGAAGUUUCCAAGACAUAAUAUGUCUAUUCACUUUUAUUUGUCCAGCUAUUAAAAGUAGAUAUACAAUUUACUUUCAUUUCCUUCGUAGAUUUUUACUCAUUCACACUAUUAAAAAUAAUGAUCAUUUUUAUAAUGUAUUUUUUCAUCAUAUUAAUAUGCAAAAAAUUGUAAUUUAUAAUUUUUUUAUAGUUUUUGAAUAUUUAAAUUUUUUGUUUAAAAUAUCAAAUUAAUACAAUCUAAUUUAAUUUUGAAAAUUAAUUAAAUUGACUUUCGAAAAUGACAAUAUGAUAUAAAUGAGAGAAUACCAAAAGAGCUGGCAAAUUUCCACCAAAACUUCGCAAGUGGAAAUUAUUAUUAUCUUAAAGUUAUGAACUCACAUCUACAAUUAUUAUUUAGUUUAUUAUAUUUAAAUAAAAAAGAGGAAAAGUCGGAAGUUGUAAAAUUUUAAAUGACAAGUAGAAUGUUUCAACAUGAAUUUAUGAUACUUUAAUAAGCAAUAUUCGUUCUGUAAUAAAUUAAUCGCAAAGAAUUGAUUAGGAAUUUGGUUGAAAAUAGAAAUGGUCCAAUUCAAGAUGAAACUAUUAGAAUUGACCUUUGGUGAGGAAGUAAAUUAAAUUACUCCCUUCGUCUAUUUUUAUUUGUCUAGUAUUAACUCAUGCAAUAAAUAAAACAAAAACAUGAUCGUAUUUGUUCCUGUAUUCUAACAAAAAAGUUAUAUUAUUUGUCAUUUGUUAUACUUCAGAGUCAUAUUUAUCCUUGAGACAUUAAAUCUCCAUGACCCGCCUUAAUUUAACGCAGAAUAGGACGAACACUCUUCUCCAAAGUCCAAGCUAAGACUGUUUCCAUUACUAAAAAUCAAUAAAUUACACAGUUCGAUCACUUACAAUGUUCUCUGGUAUUGUAGGUUAAUCAGAGAGACACUAUAUUCACUAUACAAAGAAAAAGUUGAUCAAUUUUUAAAACUAAGCUUUAGUGCAACUCUACAUACUAGCACUAUACAAUGGAAAAAUUGGUUACAUAAAUUAAACAAAAUUUUCUAUAGAAGCUACUGCUAUCGAAGCUCGAUGCUCCAUUGUUCAUACCUAAUAAUGGCUUUGUAGCCCUAUAAUAGUACACAUUCUACUACAUCCAUCUUCCCAUCUUCAUUGACAUCAUUUUCCUCUUCUUGUGGGCUUUAUGCUUUUCUGCAAUCCUCAGCCUCCUCUUGGCGUUUCUCAUUGGAUUGACCUUCUCUUCUUGUUUCCUCUUAUCCCUCUUCGAUUUGAUAUUCUUCCUUAUAUGACUGUAGAUUUGGACAAAAUAUGUGUUCCUAUAACAUUGCUUAUGCUCCCUCGCACUCCUUCAGCCAGUUGUUUCACGUCAUCUGUGGAGAUGAUGCAAACGUAAUGUCACGCCCCGAGCGUACACCCUGGGCAGGACCGGCACCCGGAGACCAUUUCUGGCCCCAAGCGAACCCUUGGCCUGGCUUUCUUAACUCAGCGGAAACCUAACCCAACAGAAUAACUCAAUGCAAUGCAAUAUUACAAAACAACUUAACUUAUAAAAUAUGGCCAUAAAGGCAACUCGAAUCUCAAAAUAGAAUAUUUACAUAUAUAUAUAGAUGAGAGACUCAAAACUAACUGACUGACUGUCUGUCUAUGAAGCCUCUAAAAUACUGAGAUGGAUGUUGGGACAGACCCCGCAACACCCUAAUAAGACAAAACUAAGAGAACAAAAUAACUAAGCCCUCCGGAAGCAAGGAGGCUCACACUGACUCUGGAGUGCUCAANNNNNNNNNNNNNNNNNNNNNNNNNNNNNNNNNNNNNNNNNNNNNNNNNNNNNNNNNNNNNNNNNNNNNNNNNNNNNNNNNNNNNNNNNNNNNNNNNNNNNNNNNNNNNNNNNNNNNNNNNNNNNNNNNNNNNNNNNNNNNNNNNNNNNNNNNNNNNNNNNNNNNNNNNNNNNNNNNNNNNNACAAGGAUACAAUAAGCCUGAGAUGUAUAUAGAAAUACAAUUAAACUGAUGUAUAUAAAAAAAUACAAUAAUCUCUGUGUAUGAAAAUACAAUAACUGCUGUGGGAGUUUCUCUAACNNNNNNNNNNNNNNNNNNNNNNNNNNNNNNNNNNNNNNNNNNNNNNNNNNNNNNNNNNNNNNNNNNNNNNNNNNNNNNACUUUGGCUCAUAUGUUUUAAAAACAAACUUCUUUCUUUAGUUUGAGAUAAUUGCUUAAAACCUAGCCCAAAGGCUCUCUUGGAAUCAAUGUUCCCUUUACUUUGCUCAAAUGUGAAAACAUUUAUAAACUUCUUUGGGAAUACUUAGUUCCCUAAUAGCUUUUGAGAAAUGAACUCAACUUUAUGCUCUUGACUUACUUGAAACUUGAGACUCUUUACUUAGCUUGAAACUUUAAACUCUUUACUUGACUUGACACUUGAGUCUAAAAAUGAAGUUAAAACGUUCAAUAAAGACUCUUGAACAACUUUGCAACUUGCUUACCUUGCUUAACUUCUAAGCUUAACUCUUAAUUUCUAACUUCACUUGACUUCUAACUAACUCUCCUUGAAUUGGAAUUUUGGAUUCAAGGUGUUUGAUCACAUGUUAUGGAUGAGUUCUUGACUUUUAGAAGUACCUUGGAGUGUUGGAAACAACUAGGAAACAUAGGUAUAAUACCUAGGAACAUGUAUGAAAAAAGUGGUGAAUGAAAGGGAAGGAUUGGUGUCCUUGGCACUAGGAGAGGUGCGACAGCCCAGCCCUUUGUUCCCCAAAAAUCCGACUUUUUCCCCUUGUUUCUUUCCAAUUCUAAACCCUCUCAACCUCAAGGUUUCAGCAACAACACUUAGAAUCAUAAAGACCCUUAUUAUACAAUAGAUUCAACUCAAAAAUCACAGCCGGAAAUUUGUACUAAACCAGCAAGAACUUCAACACAACACCACUACAACUUCAACAACCAAUAAAUCUUCUCUUGGAAUUAAAAACGAGUUGGUGUGUGGGGGUAUGAACCAACCAACNNNNNNNNNNNNNNNNNNNNNNNNNNNNNNNNNNNNNNNNNNNNNNNNNNNNNNNNNNNNNNNNNNNNNNNNNNNNNNNNNNNNNNNNNNNNNNNNNNNNNNNNNNNNNNNNNNNNNNNNNNNNNNNNNNNNNNNNNNNNNNNNNNNNNNNNNNNNNNNNNNNNNNNNNNNNNNNNNNNNNNNNNNNNNNNNNNNNNNNNNNNNNNNNNNNNNNNNNNNNNNNNNNNNNNNNNNNNNNNNNNNNNNNNNNNNNNNNNNNNNNNNNNNNNNNNNNNNNNNNNNNNNNNNNNNNNNNNNNNNNNNNNNNNNNNNNNNNNNNNNNNNNNNNNNNNNNNNNNNNNNNNNNNNNNNNNNNNNNNNNNNNNNNNNNNNNNNNNNNNNNNNNNNNNNNNNNNNNNNNNNNNNNNNNNNNNNNNNNNNNNNNNNNNNNNNNNNNNNNNNNNNNNNNNNNNNNNNNNNNNNNNNNNNNNNNNNNUGAUUUGUGAAAAGACCAAAAUGCCCUUAAAUUUUCCGGACGGAUUCCCUGCCAACUGCCCAACUUUCAAAGGGCAUAACUCGCUCAUACGAACUCGGAAUCGAGUAAUCUCAAUGGCGUUGGAAAGAUCAUUCCACAAGCUUCGCAACCAUAACUGGAACUACUCCUAACUCAUCCUGAGCUAGGAGUUACGACUGACUCAAAGUUGGCCAAAAUCACUGAUUUCCACACUUAGCCAAAUUUUCCAGAUUUUGAAUUUUUCCAAAUUUCCAGAUUCUGGACUGCCAAAUUUCCAGAUUUUAAAUUUUUCCAAAAAUGACUAUUUCCAAAUUCAAGCUUCUUCAUAUUCAUUUUAAAUUGUCGGAUGUUACACGUAAUCAUCAAAUAUAUUAAGGACUACAAAGUUAAUCACUCGGAAGCCAAAGAGGAAGUGAAGAACAUUUGUAAAUGCAGCUAGCACUUUGCAUAUAAGAUAGUAUGGGCAGACACUUGAAACAACAAGUUUGCAAGAGAUUGAAUGAGAGACCAUACCUGAUAUAACUUUUCCAGCAAAUCCUUCACAAACUUUGUACAGGGGCAACAGCAUAUGAUAUGCAAAGCUUUGGCAAUCAACCUCACCUUCAGGGGACAACAAUCUACUCUGAUCUAUAAGCUUUGGUGAAACUGAUUUGAAACAAUUGAAGAUAAUUCUCAUCUGCAAAAAAUUGUGCACAUUCCACAGCAUGAGAACAGGCACUCCUAGCACCAUAUAUGGGAGAGUAAGGCACAAAAUAUUUUUUUUGGAAAACAACGAGAAGGUAAAUUACAUAGCAAUGACUAGGCUAAGAAAUUUUUUGCGAGUCGAGCAAACAGAGAUAUCCUUAAUUAAUCACCCACCUGCAUAUCCUCCACAUGAAGGGAAAUCUUUCCCAUUGUCUUAAGCAAAUAAGAAAUGACCAAGUAGCGCUGGCCUUCAUCUUCUUGAUCGCUAAGGUCAGACACAAGAGACAGAUAGAUGUUUUUCCCUUUCCUUGAAUCAAGCUGUUGAAAAGCCUUAAGCAGAAGACCCUGCUCGUCAUGUUCAAUGGUGGACCAGAACUCAUCUUUACAUUCAUUUUUUCCUAAGAAUGAAUGCAGAGAGCAAAUUGAAAAGACAAGAUUUUGAGUAAUGAGAUCACUGGCAGCAUCAUCAGUCUGCAGCACCUUCAGCUGACAACAAAGAGAAGUAGCUACGAAGAAAAGUCUACUUGGCCUCAUCAAAAAGUAAGUUUCUUGUGGCAGUUCAAGGUUUUCUUUCCAAGCCUCAGUCACAGUGGCAAAGUAGCAAGCCACAAGACGGUUUGAUAUGUUGCGCAACCACAGAUGCGGAUGCAAAAGCAACUCACAGAUUGCUUCCCACAGAUCCUAUGAGAUGUCAAUAAAAAUAAUAGUCAGAAAACAAAUAUGAAUUUAUCCAAAGAACAGGACAAGUUAUUGGCAAUCUGGAAAUGGGAGUGUGGUAGCUGUGGAGCGUACUUUCCCCAGUACAACAAUAACAUACCUAGUGAAAUCCCACUAAGUGGGGUCAGGGGAGGGUAGAAUGUACGCAGUCCUUACCACUACCUCGUGGAGGUAUAGAGGCUGUCUCCGAAAAACCCUCGGCUCAAGUGCAUCAAACCAAAGUAAAAGUAUCCUCUUCAAACUUUAAGCCCAGUAUACUAUUCAAACUCUAAGCACUUGAUUUUCAAAUACUUCUUAACUUUACACCUAGUCUGUAGUUGCAACUAUCUUUUGGCAUGCUGCCUAAGUUUGAGGACUAAAGCAAUUUCACCUAAGUGGUUGUAGCCACACCAAAAAGUAAUUCAUUUCUUAAAUCUAUCACAAAGCAAAAUGAGGUCCAGCGGUUUUCACAUAAGUCCCCUCGUACAUAUGCUAAGUAGGACAUAUUAUGGAUGACUUGGUUUUAGCCCUAUAUUUUAAGACCAUAGCUAAAAUAAUGAAAUACANNNNNNNNNNNNNNNNNNNNNNNNNNNNNNNNNNNNNNNNNNNNNNNNNNNNNNNNNNNNNNNNNNNNNNNNNNNNNNNNNNNNNNNNNNNNNNNNNNNNUAUCAUAAUCAAGAUCUCCCAACUCUACAGUAGACGUGGCAUUCAAUUCACGAAGAAGAUUUGCCUGUAUGAAAUUAAGAAGUGUUACACGUCAACAAACACCUAAAGCAACAAGUUCAAAAGAAAACUAGAUGGUCUAGUAAUACCGUAGGAUGUACAGAAGAAUCAUUCCCUGCGACAGCAUCAAGAACAUCACAAAUAGAAGUACGGACAUCCAAGCCAGCAGAAAUUACGAGUGGAGAAACAGAUUUGACGGUCUUUUUACUGCUUUCACUACCCAAUGGUUCUACAAUAUCCUUAAUAAUCUGUAAAGUGCCUACACAAAUCUCUGCAACCAGAAAGAAAGGUAAUCUUAGAAAAAGAGCAAGGACAUGAGACCAAACAGGUCCACCAAAACUGUAAGACAAAACUCAGAGACUCUGACCAGGGUCUUUGGAUCUCUUUGACAGAAGCGGAAGCAAGAUGUCAAGAAACUUCCUUGCAGCCAAUGGUCCCUUUAUGUGCUUCGAUAAAAGCUUGAAGACAUUGAGCUCUUUUUCCCCAGGAUAUUUGACAAUCUUCCUGGAAAAGUGAAUACAUCAGUUAAGAGGAGAACUGAUGCUAGUGCAUCUCAUAUAACACUUAAUUACAUAAAGAGCAUGCUAAGUCCACUUAGCCAUAUAGGGUGGAUGACACAUACACAAGAAAAUAAGUAAGAAACCUACUUAUUCUCCGGAGAAGCAUUUUCCAAAAAGACAUUUUAGAGGCAUUGUUAUCAUUUGGUAGAUCCAGGUCCAUGACCUAUUUCGAUGGAACACAUUUUCCAUGGUACAUAACACAUUCUCAGAAUUUCGCUCAUUGAUAUCCAUUGAUACGGACCUCACUUGUGGGAUUUCACGGGAUGUGUUGUUGCUUGAGUUGAUAUGCCCUGCUGAAAGUCUUUGUGGGUAGGAGGGAGUAUAAGAAUGAUCCACAACUCCCGGCAAAGUUGUAACAUUACCAUGUUGAUCUAAAUGUAAUAGAUGUACUCCUAUCUUCUUUACUAUGGCUCCGCCACUGCUAUCCUCUACUCUUAUCUGUUCCCCGCCUUUGAUGUUCAGGCCUUUAAAAGGUCUAUCAUUUGCGUAAGGUAAGUAAUAUACACAUGAUACUUCUCCGUGACCAUCAGGUAUAUCAAAAGGCAAAAUCCAUGAAAAACUCUUUUUAUGGGAAACAGUAACAACAAGGUGUUCAAGCUCAUGUACAUCGCAAAGGCGGCAAACAAACCAGAGAACCAUUCCUAAGAACUUGUUAUUAUGUACUGUGGGCAUAGUCAAACAGAUAGAUGGAGCUGUUACUUUAUUGCUGCACCAAUCUGGAAUCUCAUUGCUUUCGAGAUUAAUUUGUAACAACGACUUCAUCAGACAAAUUAAGACACAAUUAGAUCAUUAAUUAUUAAUGUGAUACGAGAGAGAGAUCAGAGAGGGAGAAGGACUAACCUCAUACCAUUGAUAUUUUCUACACGAAAUUGAUAGAGCAGGGGCACUAAAGAAGCCUUCACUGAAUGGAUUCUGCAGACAAGUACAAUUAUUCAUGUCCAUCUUCUUUAUUGAAGGGAGGUUGUCCAACCCUGUAAUCUUGACCAGUUUUUGGCAAUUCCUAAGUUCAACAACUCUAAGGUACUCUAAAUUUGAUAUUGAUGGGAGUGUUUGAAGGUUCUCACAAUCAUUCAAAUACAAGGACUUCAACCAUGGUAACUUGGAAAAAUCAAAGGGUAGAUAGAGGAAACUGUUGCCGCUCAAAUCUAAAUGAUAUAAGUUGGAUAAACUCCCAAUAUCCCUAGGAACAUCAGCCUCCGAGAAACCACAAUAUGGAAGGCAUAGAAUCGAAAUAAAUUUUGACAAGGAUACUAUGGGGCGUACUCUUGUUUGAGAAAACCUCCUUUUGGUCUCUAAGUAUUGACCUCCCAUUUCCAAUUCUAUAAGAUUUCCUAGCAUUUCAACAGAUCCAGGCAAUUCUUUUAUACCUGUUUCACCUGCAUUAAGAAAUCUUAGGCUUUGCAUAUCUCCAAUGUCAACUGGCAGUGUUUGUAAAGAUGAGCAGUCAUUAAUGCUCAAGUAUUCAAGGGAUUUUAGCUGGCAUAUGCUGCUCGGAAGAUCCGUAAUCUUUUCGCAACCAUUCAAUUGAAGAUCAGUUAGUCUGUCCAAAUUUCCUAUUGAUGGAUGGAUCUCCUUAAGACUUGAGCAAUUGUCAAGCCACAAAGUCUCGAGACUUCUUGAACCACAGAAGUUUGGAGUUCUUCUGAGGUGCUUGCAAUCAGAGAGAUCCAGCAUUUUCAAAUUUCUACAAUACUAAAAGUAAACAAAAUAUUGUUUUAAUUAAGAUUUUCUUUAUCUUAAACAUAACACAUAAAAUUGCAGAAUUGAGUAACGAACCUGCAAAUUCAAACCAAAUUCUUGGAUAUUGCUCCCUUUCAUAUUCAGAACUACAAGCUUCUCAGAUGGAAAAUUUGACGGUAUACAUUUUAAAGGACAUUCUUUCCAAGACAACCAUCUGAGCUCCUUGGACAAUAGCUCAAAAUCUCCACUAAUAUGUAAGUCGUCGAUUUUAAGCACCCUAAGAUUUAUCAUUUUCUGAAAUGCUUUGGUGUUCAGCUUCACACCCUUUAAUGCCUGUCGUUCUACCACCAAUAUUUCUACAUUUUCAGAACCCUACAGUUUGGUAAAAAGAAAAGUACUAUAAGACCAUGUUAUGUAUGAUAAAUUAAGAAAGAGAAAUGCUUUAUACAAAUUGAAGGUCAAACAAAGAAAAUAAAUUAUGUACCAAUAAAAAUAAACUUACACAUUAUAUCCAACUAAAGGAUAUUUAUUUGAUAAUUUUGUCUUUGAUAGCUUGUUUAGACUUCAGUAAAUGUUCAUUUCAAGUACAGAAUGGUUCAAACAUCUAAAGAUACUUACUAACCGGAGAAGAUUUAAGCACAAAUGCAUAAAUUAUAAGCAAGUGUAUAUCAAUAUGAAAAAAGAAGAAGAAGAAGUAUAACCGAGAUAAAGAUAAUGAAAUUUACUGACUUUAUUUCCUUGUAGGACAUCAAGGACUUCUUGAGGGUUGACCAAUCUACUCCGUUUUCCAAAGUCUCGAGGUGAUUCCAUGCGAACGAUUUCUCUUCCCAUAUCCCGCACUAGAUCAUGCAUCACCAAACGACGCCGAUCCCUUUGGAGCAGGUGUCUUUUGACUAGAGUUGCAAUUGCAGUUUCACAAUAAAAACCACAGGGGUUUAAUGUUUUGGUAACUUCAUCCUCAUCACAUCCAUGGAAAGCGCACGCAAUAUCAAGGAAAACACUCUGAGUAUUGUCAUCAAGUCCAUCAAAGCUUAUUUGGAGAAUCUUUUGAAUAUCAAAAUGAGGAAUUGUUCUUAGUUUUUUGAACUCGUAUCUCCAUUCUUCAACGGAUCUCCCUUGCAGAUGUGACCCCAAUGUCACAAGAGCUAAUGGUAGCCCACCUGAAUAUUUUAUUAUGUCUUGUGCCAGCUCAACAUAUUCUUGUGGUGGAGAAAAACAGUUAAAAGCAUGACAAGAAAAGAGUUGCGGGGCUUCAUUGUCAUUUAAAAGUUUGGCCCGGUAUAUCUCACUUGUUGUAAGCCCAUAUAGCAAAUGUUCAUCUCGAGUUGUAAUAAUUAUUACACUACCAGAGCCAAACCAACUUCUUUCUCUUGUUAAGGAUUCUAAUUGGCUUCUAUGAUCCACGUCAUCAAGAAUAAUUAGAACCUUCUUUGACCCAAGUCUUGCUUUGAUUAGACUAACACCUUCAGCAACACUAUCAACUUCAAAUUCCUUAGUUUUGAGGAUUUGAUGAAGUAGUUUCUCUUGUAGCUUGACUAGAACAUAUUCUUCAACUUUUGAUCUUAUGUCUGAAAGGAAGCAACUACCGUCAAACUGUUGAAAUAUUCGAUUGUAGAUAGCUUUUGCCAAAGUUGUUUUCCCAAUUCCACCAACGCCACAUAUACCAACCAUGCGAACUUCAUGCUCACAUCCACUUUGCAGUAACACCUCUAUAUGUUUGAUAGGAGAAUCUAAUCCAAUUGGGUAAUGAGCAACAUCUAGAGGUGUUGGGUUAACCUCUUGCAGAACUUGUUUUAUAAUACUUUCAAUAAACUUUGAUUCAUGCCUACAGUUUUUGCAACAAUAAAUACUCAAGUAUUUUAAAUUAUUUGAUGAACAAAAUGAAAAUCAAUAGCCAAAAGAUAACAGAGUUUAUAGAAUGGAGAUUAUCCCUUGUCCCAAUCUACGGUUUGAUUUGACACGAAAUUUAAGAAAUAUAAAAAGACUUUACAAUGUUCCAAAAUUAACCAAGUUUUAAGCUUAGGCAAAUGCUUAAAUUCAAAAUUUAAUAGUUGAAUUAAGAAGUCUUACCCAUCAGCAACAUUUCUUAAAUCCCAUCCAGAUAAAUUUGCUGCUUCAGUAAGUGCAGCUUUCCACUUUUCCAUUCUUUCAGCUCCAACCAAUCGUUCCUUGUGUUUUGCCAAAGCUUCGUCAAAGGACGAAGUUUGCCUUCGCACUUGAGAAGGAUCAACAUCAUAGAAAAUAGGCAAAACUACCUGCUUUAACCUCUGUUUGCAAUCGAGAAUUUUGACAAGUUCAUCAAGACACCAACUAGACGAAGCAUAAUUUUUGGAGAAAACAACAAUGGCAACCCUAGAUUGUUCAAUUGCUUUCUUAAGUUCAAUUGAAAUUUCGUCUCCUUUUCUCAAUUCCUCAUCAUCUAUGAAAGUAUUAACUCCGACUUGAUACAAUCUGAAAUAAAGAUGACCUGUGAAGUUUUUGCGAGUAUCUUCACCUCUGAAACUGAGAAACACAUCAUAACAUAAGUUGGAAGAAGAAGAUGAUUCUCCUUGAGUAUUCAUAUUUGAUGACAAUAAAUUAAAGAGAUUUUUAGUCAAUUUUUUUGUUUAAUUAAUUAAAUAGAGAUGUGAAGCAGCUCUUUAUAUGCCCACAAGUAAUUGUUUGUUCCUGGAAAUUUAAUUUUGGGUCAACUCAUUUACAGGCCCCAAAGAAGGUUAACAGAAAUGUAAGGGAAGUUUCCAAGAUAUUUCAUAGACAUGUUGCGUUCAAUUUUAUAUGUUAUAAUAUUAAAAAUAGAUAUACAAUUUACUUCCACUUCUUCCGUAGAUUUUUACUUGUUCACAUUAUAAACUAUAGUGAUCAUUUUUAUUUGUACAAUUUAAAAAUAAUCAAAAAUAAGAACUUUUAAUUUAUUUAUUUUAAAAUGUGUCAUACUUCCAAUAAUUCACUUAUGAACCAGUGAGAGUAGAUAAUGAGUGACUUGCUUUCACAUUUAUUGUCAGCACAACUCUAUCAGUCUUCUUUUUUUUUCAUCACUUUCACACUAUCGACAAGUGGAUUGACAUUACCAUGUUGGUCUAAAUAUAGCAGAUGGAUCCCUAUCUUUUUUAUUGCAUCUUUGCGAAAGAACAAAUAGUCAGACUCGUGAACUGUUACCUUUGAUCAUCUGGUCAACAAAAGGACUAGUUAAGCAAGAUAUGUAAUAUACACAUGAUACUUCUCUGUAUUGUCCGAUCGAGUAUAUCAAUAUCACAAAUUCUUGACAUAGAUACUCUCUCUCUAUCGGAUACAGCAAUACUGAAGCGUCCAAAAGUGGAUGAAAGUCUCUUAAAGUCGCAAAAAAAAACAGAGAAUCAUUCCUAAGAACUUGUACCCCUUAUCAUGUACUGUGGGCAUAGUGAAACAGAUAGAUGGAGAUGUUACUUUAUUGCUGCACCAAUCUGGAAUAUCAUUGCAUUCGACACAAAUUCGUAAAACUUGCUUCUUCAGAGUGUGAAAUGACAGAGCCUGGGCACCUUGAUUGAACGAUCUCCUUCAUCCUUGAGCAACCUUGAAGCUUCAAAGUCUCGAGACUUGUUGCACCGUUGAAGUUUGGAGUUUUUUUGAGGGCCGAGCACCAAGAGAUAUUCAGCUCCUUCAACCUUGGGCAACACUAAAUGUCAACCAAGUACAUUAAUAUUCAAGUUAUACAAGACUAUUUUGUAUAAUUUCACUAGUCAAUGAAAAAUGUAGAAUUGGGCAACAAAUUAAACCUGCAAAUUCAAGCCAAAUUUUUCGAUAGCACUCCCUUCCAUAUUAAGAACUACAAGAUUCGCAGCUGGAAAAUUUGGUGGAAUAUAUUUUAAAUGACAUCUUUGCCAAGAUAACCAUUUGAGCUCCUUGGGAAAAUGCCACAAAUCUCCAUGAAUACGUAAUCCAUUGAUUAUAAGCACCCUGAGUUUCUUCAUUUUCUUAAAUGCAUCGGUGCUAAACUCCACUCCCUCUAAUUCCCCUGGUUCAUCUAACCUCAUUACUUGUACAUUUCCGAAACUCUGUAGUUCAGAGAAAAUGUUUUAAUUAGGACUAAGAAUUGUAACACGACAUACAAUUAAAUUAAAAAGGAACAAGGAUUUACUCACGUUUUUUCCUCGUAAAACAGCACAGACUUGUUGAGGUAUGAAUAAUCUACUCCGUUCUACAAGGCAUUGAGAUUCUGAGCGAACAAUUUCUCUUCCCAUAUCUCGCACUAGAUCAUGCAUACUUACACAACCCCCAAGUACCCCUUGGAGCAACUGUUUUUGGACUAAAGUUGCAAUUUCACAUUUAGUGUGAAAACCACAUGCAUUUAGUAUUUCAGUUUUCUUGAGAGUCUUUUGGAUAUCAUCAUGAGGAAUUUCUUUUAGUCUCUUGAAUUUGCGUCUCCAGUUUUCUAUGGAUUCCCCUCGAAAAUGUGAACCCAAUGUCACAAGUGCUAAUGGUAGCCCACCUGAAUAUUUGAUUAUGUCUUUCGUCACCCCAACAUAGUCUUUAGGUGGAGAAAGACUGUCAAAAGCAUGACGAUAAAAAAGUUGCUGAGAUUCAUUGUCAUUUAAUUGGUUGAUCAUACAUCUUUUUGCAUUAAGCCAACUUAGCUAAAGCUCGUCUCGGAUUGUAAUAACUAUUAUACUACCCAAACCAAACCAUUUCUUUUCUUUUGUUAACGAUUCUAAUUGUUUUUUUGUGUCCACUUCAUCAAGAACAAUUAGAACCUUCUUUGACCCCAGUUUUCUUUUGAUUAGAUUGAUUCCUUCAGCAACACUGCGAACUUUGUACUCGUUGGUUUUGAACAGUAUAUUGAGAAGUUUCUCUUGUACACUUUCUAGACCAAUCUUUUUUUCUAGCAAUCUAACAUCAGAAAGGAAGCAACUACCAUCGAAGAUAAAUAAUCGAUUGUAGAUAUUUUUGGCCAGAGUUGUUUUCCCGAUUCCACCAACUCCAUAUAUACCAACCAAGUGAACUUCAUCUACGUGUCCAUUUUGCAAUAACGACUUUAUAGGUUUAGUACGAGAAUCAACUCCAAUUGGGUAAGAAGCAACAUGUAGAGGUGUAUGGUUGACCUCUUUCUUCAUAUCUUGUAUAAUCAUUUCAAUAAAUUCAGCUUCAUGCCUACCAAUAUUUUUACCAAAAAACACUCACAUGAUGGGAGGUGUUACGCUUUAAAAUAGUUGCCUAUCUAUGGAUGGCAAUGGGGCGGUGCGGGACGGGGCGCGUUGAGCUUAAUCUAUAAAAAAUUUAAUUCGCUCUGCAUAACAAUUUUUUUCAUUUUCAACCUGCCCCGCAUGAAACUCCCCACAUAGUUUUUUUAAUAUUUUUCUUUUCUAGUUAAGUUUGACACUAAAAAUAAAAUUCAUAAAAAUAAAUUCAUUUUUUCAUUAAGUUGUAUUAAUUUAAUAGAAAAUGACCUAAAUUUUAUUUUUUAGAAGUCAAUUGGUAAACAUGUAAGAAAUUGUAUUAAUUUUUAUUGAAUCAUUUUCAUUUACCAUCUUGAAUAUUUUAGUAGCUUUAGAGAAAUUAUCUUAAUAAAUAAUGUUCUAUCACUCUUAUAGCAUGUAAAAAGUUAAAAUUAAAUUGAAUCCACAUAAUGCCACAUAUUCCGGCAACCCCGUCCCACAUAGCCUUAAAUCCACUCCAUCCCGCAUCCGCCCCGUUUCAUUGUUAUCUAUGGCUAUCAAACGACCCAAAAUUGUUAACAGAAAUAAAAAGGAAGUUUCCUAAGAGGUACUUUCUCUUUUGGGUAAUAACCAUAGUUAAUAGUAUAAUUAAAAACAUUACAUUUCAUCCUUGUAGGAAAUUACUUAUGGGGUUCUUGAUAGGCAAUCUUACUGUGGAGGAAAGUUGAUAGAAAUUGAAUGGAAACAUUCAAAUUCUUUUUCUUUUUAAUUGAAUGGUUUUCACAUUCUAAAUUUUCUCUACCCACCAAAGGUCAAUUCUAAUAGUGGUUGCAUCUUGAAUUGGACCCUUUUUAUUUUUAAACAAAUUUCUUAGUACACAAAACAAAUAUAUUGCUUACUUUAAAAGCAAGGUAUCAUAAAUUCACGUCGAAACAUUGUACUUGCCCUUUAAAAUUUUACAACUUAUGAUUUUCAUCUUUUUUUAAAAAAAAUAAUGCAAGAAAUAUGUCAUGAUGUUCCACUAUGCCUUUAUAAAUCUCCAUUUAUCUUUGUUUUGUUUGUUUAAUCGAAAUUUAAUCUUCUUACUGUUACGAUUACCAGAUUUUACACACUACUUGCCUAUUCUUUCUUCUUCUAACCUUUUCUUUUCCUUUUUGAAUAUUUUCUUUUAAUAUUAGUAUUUCUUUUGAAUGGUCUAACCAGUAGUUGAACUUAGAAGCUUUCUUUGGUUAUGAAACCAAAUUAAUAUUAUUUACCUUAUUUAGAGGUAUUGCCACUAUAAGUAAUACAACGAUUAACUAUUUUAUGCAAAACUUUCGUAAAUGUGCUUUUACAUAAAUUUCCAUUCAGUGUGACACACACGAAGUAAAACCACAUGUUUCUUCUUUUUGCAUUCCAAAAAAAAGGAAGAAUAUUCUUCUCCAUUACUAAAAAUCAAUAAAUUACACAGUUCAAUCACUUACAAUGUUCCCUGGCAUUGCAUGUUAAUCAAAGAGACACUAUAUUCACUAUACAAUGAAAAAGUUGAUUCAAUUUUUUAAACUAAGCUUAGUGCAACUCAACAUACUACCACUAUACAAUGGAAAAUUUGGUUACAUAAAUUAAACAAAAUUUUCUAUAGAAGCUACUGCCUAUAUCGAACAACAAAAUUUUCUAUAGAAGCUACUGCCAUCGAAGAUCGAUGCUCAAUUGUUCAUACCUAAUAAUGGCUUUGUAGCCCUAUAAUAGUACACAUUCUACUACAUCCAUCUUCCCAUCUUCAUUGACAUCAUUUUCCUCUUCUUGUGUGCUUUAUGCUUUUCUGCAAUCCUCAGCUUCCUCUUGGCAUUUCUCAUUGGAUUAACCACAGCAAUGACCUUCUCUUCUUGUUUCCUCUUAUCCCUCUUCGAUUUGAUAUUCUUCCUUAUAUGACUGUAAAUUUGGACAAAAAUAUGUGUUCCUAUAACAUUGCUUAUGCUCCCUCGCACUCCUUCAGCCAGUUGUUUCACGUCGUCUGUGGAGAUGAUGCAAACGUAAUCAUCAAAUAUAUUAAGGACUACAAAGUUUAAUCACUCGGAAGCCAAAGAGGAAGUGAAGAACAUUUGUAAAUGCAGCUAGCACUUUGCAUAUAUGAUAGUAUGGACAGACACUUGAAACAAUAAGUUUGCAAGAGAUUGAAUGAGAGACCAUACCUGAUAUAACUUUUCCGGCAAAUCCUUCACAAACUUUGUACAGGGGCAACAGCAUAUGAUAUGCAAAGCUUUGGCAAUCAACCUCACCUUCAGGGGACAACAAUCUACUCUGAUCUAUAAGCUUUGGUGAAACUGAUUUGAAACAAUUGAAGAUAAUUCUCAUCUGCAAAAAAUUGUGCACAUUCCACAGCAUGAGAACAGGCACUCCUAGCACUAUAUAUGGGAGACUAAGGCCCAAAAUAUUUUUUUUGGAAAAACAACGAGAAGGUAAAUUACAUAGCAAUGACUAGGCUAAGAAAUUUUUUGCGAGUCGAGCAAACAGAGAUAUCCUUAAUUAAUCACCCACCUGCAUAUCCUCCACAUGAAGGGAAAUCUUUCCCAUUGUCUUAAGCAAAUAAGAAAUGACCAAGUAGCGCUGGCCUUCAUCUUCUUGAUCGCUAAGGUCAGACACAAGAGACAGAUAGAUGUUUUUCCCUUUCCUUGAAUCAAGCUGUUGAAAAGCCUUAAGCAGAAGACCCUGCUCGUCAUGUUCAAUGGUGGACCAGAACUCAUCUUUACAUUCAUUUUUUCCUAAGAAUGAAUGCAGAGAGCAAAUUGAAAAGACAAGAUUUUGAGUAAUGAGAUCACUGGCAGCAUCAUCAGUCUGCAGCACCUUCAGCUGACAACAAAGAGAAGUAGCUACGAAGAAAAGUCUACUUGGCCUCAUCAAAAAGUAAGUUUCUUGUGGCAGUUCAAGGUUUUCUUUCCAAGCCUCAGUCACAGUGGCAAAGUAGCAAGCCACAAGACGGUUUGAUAUGUUGCGCAACCACAGAUGCGGAUGCAAAAGCAACUCACAGAUUGCUUCCCACAGAUCCUAUGAGAUGUCAAUAAAAAUAAUAGUCAGAAAACAAAUAUGAAUUUAUCCAAAGAACAGGACAAGUUAUUGGCAAUCUGGAAAUGGGAGUGUGGUAGCUGUGGAGCGUACUUUCCCCAGUACAACAAUAACAUACCUAGUGAAAUCCCACUAAGUGGGGUCAGGGAAGGGUAGAGUGUACGCAAUCCUUACCACUACCUCGUGGAGGUAGAGAGGUUGUUUCCCUAGUCUCAAGUGCAUCAAACCAAAGUAAAAGUAUCCUCUUCAAACUUUAAGCCCAGUAUACUAUUCAAACUCUAAGCACUUGAAUUUCAAAUACUUCUUAACUUUACACCUAGUCUGUAGUUGCAAACUAUCUUUUGGCAUGCUGCCUAAGUUUGAGGACCAAAGCAAUUUCACCGAAGUGGUUUUAGCCACACCAAAAAGUAAUUCAUUUCAUAAAUCUAUCACAAAGCAAAAUGAGGUCCAGUGGUUUUCACACAAGUCCCCUCGUACAUAUGCUAAGUUGGACAUAUUAUGGAUGACUUGGUUUUAGCUCUCCUAUAUUUUAAGACCAUAGCUAAAACAAUGAAAUACAGCAGCACUAGCACUAAUGAAAUAAAGGAUAGAGAGAGAAAAUAUAGUAAUUUUUUUCUUUCUACAGAGACUAAUAUCCAUUCUAUAGAGGAUAGAUAUAGAAGAUAUUUUAUCUUUUUAAAUUCUACAAAAACAAACAUCCAAUAUGUGCUAUAGAGUAUCAAAACAAUGUCUCAAAGGCAAUUCAACCAGUUAUGAAUAUCCAUUAGCUCCAUUUUAUCCCAAUAGAAUAAGUCUGGAUGGCAGGCAAAUCUUAUAAAUGUUCAUAUGUUGUUGUUGUUGUCUUAUUUACAGAAGUAAUCAGUUAGUACCUAGUAGUAGUCACUUUAAUUUCUAACAUAGGAUUAAAAGAAAGGAAUAAAUACCUCAAGAUCCUUUCUGAAGCACAACUUAGGAAAUUGAUUUAAUAUCUUCUCAAACAGAACCAGUGAAUAAUAUGCUUCUUUCCAAGAUGAAAUCGUUGCAUCAUUCGGUAGAUCCACUUGCUUAUUUGUAAGAACAUUAACAGCAGAUUGCAAGAUGUUUCUCAUAACAGGUAGGAGGCUAUCAAUAUACUUUUGGAAACCAUCUUUAAGUCCUUCAAUGAGUAACCCCAAAACCUGUAAAAGAAAUAAUGAAGUCUUGAAACAUGUUUUUCUAUUUUUUGAUGAGGAAGGAGUUAUAUCUCAGAUUCAUGACAAAAUAAUGACGUCAGUUUUUGUCCAUUCUUCCGGCUAUUUAAUUCAUAGUUCAUAUACAUAAACGAAUAUGAAAAAAGUGAAUGACAUAUGGAACUUGUAAUCCUUCUUCGGUAUUUCCAAACUUGCUCCACGAUGGCAUAAUGUAGUUGAAUAAAAGAACAGUUUGGGGUUUUCACUCGUUUACCUGUGCUGCAGCACUCCAUAAAUGUGGUUUAUCUCCCAGAUACCAGGACCGACUAAACUCAAGAAUUGACUGGAGUGAACGGGGGCUGACUCGUCCAACAAGUAACUUUAUGACUGUACCAGUCAUUGAACGGACUCUGUUGUCACGAUCAUUCGCCAGACAAACCACCAAAUGCAGAAAAAACGUCUGAGAUUGUUCAUCUAUGAUGCUAACUGGGAAUUUCAUUAUAACAGCAUGAAGCAUUUCAAGGAUAGCUUCUCUUCCAGUUGAAUGCUCAUAUCUGAAAAAUUCAAAAACAUCAUUACAGAGAUGUCACCAUCUAUAAAUUUUACCAAAUGAAAUUAUUGAUUGUGCCCUUAUGUCCUUGCCUUAAGUUUGAAAGUAAGAAAUCAAGAUGUUGUUGAAGACGUUUCUCAGAUAUAUGGUAGUCCAGUAAAAACUGCAGCAAAAUUUGGCUGCUUUUCUUACGAAUUGAUUCAACUUGACUAGUCACCAUCAACACUGCAAGAUUUCUGCAACUACCAACUUCCUACUCACUAUUGCUUUCAACAGUGAGAGAGCCACAAAAGAGGGAUUUCUUUCAAGAUCAACAAAAAGAGGAAACUGGAUUAGCAUAUGCAGUUGAUCAGUAGAAAGUGUGAUCUUAGUGCUACGCAAAAGCACAGUUAGCAACUUAACGCAAGACUCCAAUAAUGGAUUACUGGAAGUUACUGAACCUUGAGCAAUAUUCAGUAAUGAAUUCUUUAUCUUCUCUGCCUGAGAUUCAAGAGAUGGCAAAGGGAGCCUCACCAGAGGAGAUAAGCACCUAAGUGAGGCAGACAUGACAUUCUCAUAUUUUGAGUUUAAGCAUUCACCCAAUAAUCUUACAAAUGGAUCUAGCAUUGACAACAACUGCUCAUCUUUCUUGUCAAAUUUCAUGUUCUUCAUGUAAUUCUGAAGCACUCCAAGAGCAAAUUCAGUAAUAAGAUGGGAAUAUCGUGGAUCAACGCUGACCAACUUAUCUGAUUUAGCAAUCUGGCUGCUUACUCCAUCUUUCUUUUGCUUACCUUCCAUUAAAGUCGAUGUCUCUGCAUGCCCUGGAGAUUCAUCUUUUAUGCCAUCUUUGAUCAGACCAUAUUCAUAGAUAAAGAGUUCUGUCUGGUUAACGGAAGGAUUACACUGUAUUCCAGCAGCUAUAUGAGAGAACAUAUUCUCAAAUUUUGAUUUUACUUUUGGAGUCAGCUGCUUCUGUAGAUGCUUAAGAAUUGGCGCAAGCAGCUUCAGAGCAUGUGUUUUGAAUGUGAUGCUUUGGGCAAUCAAUUUAAGGGUAUCAUAUGACUUCUGCUUCCUAGUCUCUUCCAUCUUUGAAGCAAUCUUCUCAACCUCUUUCUCCUCUGAAAUAUCACUAAGUAUAUCAUUUAUUGCAAUCGAGAGAAGAUCCUCUAAACAAAAAUCCAGCUUCCCACUACUGGGAUUUAGAAGAAAUUUUGAUAGUAGAAAAUUGAGAGUGAAUCCCAAAACAUGCAAUUCAAAUCCUCUCUUCAGAGUGCCUCUCAAGACUUUGACAACAAAUUGCAAGUACUCCAGCCCUAGUUCUUUUAAACAAGCAGCCAAAGCAGCUCUGGCUUCAUCACGAACACUUUCCAAACGAUUCUUAAGGAAAUUCGCUAUGCGAUGCAUCAUAGAUGGAAGGUGCGAUUCCAUGAUGUCUCCCGAAAUUCCGCAAUAACACCUUUUGUUUAUCUGGUUUCAGUGUCAUCUCCCGAAAGCAUCUAUUGAGUAAUGCAUAAUACAAUCUCCAGUCCAUGAAUUUAGAAAUUGAUCCAACAGCUUCCAAACAUGCACUUCUAAUAUUUUCACCCUUUCCAACUUGUCCAUCAACCAACAUUUUAAAGAGAAGAGGGAUAAACACUUUAUUUAUGAGAACCUGCACCAGAAUUAUUCCCAACUAUUAGUACAGCUUAGCAACACAGAGCACAAAUUGAUGCUUAAAGAAAAAGGCAAGUAACCACCUUAGACAGAUUCCCGGAAUAUGUAACUCAUCGAUUUUAAGCACCCUCAAAUUUUUCAUUUUCUUAAAUGUCUUGGUGCUCAGGUUCGCGCCUUUUAAUUCCCCUGGAUCUACCACCAGUACUUCUACUUUUUCGGAACCCUGUAGUUUCAGCACAUAUUAAUUGAACAAAAGCAAUUAUAAGCAAAUAUUUAUCAAAUUAUUGAAAAAAAUUAAAAUCACGAAAGAUAAAGAAUCUACUGACUAUAUUUCCUUGUGGAACAUCUCGGACUUCUUGAGGUUUGAACAAUCUACUCUGUUUUCCAGAGUCUCAAGGUGAUUCCAUACGAACAAUUUCUCUUCCCAUAUCUCGCACUAGAUCAUGCAUCAUCAAAUAACGCCAAUCCCUUUAGAGCAAGUUCCUUUGGACUAAGGUUGAAAUUGCACUUUCAGAAUAAAAACCACACGCAUUUAAUGUUUUGAUAACUUCAUCCUCAAAAAAUCCAUGGAAGGCACACACGAUAUCAAGGAAAACACUUUGAGUAUCACAAUCAAGUCCGUCAAAGUUUAUCUUGAGGAUCUUUUGAAUAUCACAAUGAGGAAUUGCGUAUCUCCAUUCUUCUACGGAUCUCCCUUGUAAAUGUGACCCCAAUGUCACAAGAGCUAACGGUAGCCCACCUGAAUAUUUGAUUAUGCUUUGUGCAAGCUCAACAUAUUCUUGUGGCGGAGAAGGACUACUAAAAGCAUGACAAGAAAAAAGUUGUUGAGCUUCAUCUUGAUUUAAAAGUUUUGCCUUGUAUCUUUCAUUUUCUCUAAUCCGAGAUAACAAAUGCUUGUCUCGGGUUGUAACAAUUAUUAAACUACCAGAGCUAAACAAACUUCUGUCUCUUGUUAAGGAUUCUAAUUGGCUCAUAUGAUCCACUCCAUCAAGAAUAAUUAGAACCUUCUUUGACCCAGGUCUUGCUUUGAUUAGAUUGACGCCUUAGCAACACUACUAACUUUGACGUCCUUAGUUUUGAGAACUUGAUUUAGUAGUUUUUCUUGUAACGUGACUUGACCAAAUGCUUCAGCUUCUAAUCUAACAUCUGAAAGGAAGCAACUACUAUCAAAUUGUCGAAAUAUUUGAUUGUAGAUAGCUUUAGCCAGAGUUGUUUUCCCUAUUCCACCUACGCCCAUAUAUACCAACCAUACGAACUUCAUCUGCACUUCCUUUUGGAGUAACAACUCUAUAUCUUCGACACGAGAAUCUACUCCAACAGGGUGCCAAGAAACAUCUAGAGGUGUCUGGUUUACCUCUUGUAGAACUUGUUUUACAAUACUUUCAAUAAAUUUUGAUUCAUGUCUGUAUAUUACCAAAAACAACAGUUAGAAUUAAAAAAAAAAACAACUUUGAUAUGUGGAAAAAAAAUAAUUGAUAACCAACUUAUGACUUUUGACUGAUAAGUCAGUGUGACCAGCUUAUAAAUAUUACCCGUCAACAACAUUUGCAAAUCCCAUCCAGAUAAAUUUGCAGUUUCAGUAAGUGAAUCCGUCCAUUUUUUCAUUCUCUCAACCUCGAAUGAUCGUUCCUUAAGCAUAGCCAAAGCUUCACCAAAGCAUCCGGUUUGCUUGCGUACAUGAAAAGGAUGAACAUCAUAGAAAAUAGUCAAAACUAUUUGCUUUAACUUCUCUUUGCAUUCAAGAAUUUUAACAAGUUCAUCAAGACACCAACUAAACGAAGCAUAAUUUUUCGAGAAAACAACAAUGGAAACUCUAGAUUCUUCAAUUGCUUUCUCAAGUUCUGUUGAAAUCACCUUACCUUUUCUUAAUUCCUCGUCAUCUAUGAAGGUAUUAAUUCUGACUUGACAUAAUCUAGAAUAAAGAUGACCUGUGAAGGUUUUUCGAGUAUCUUCACCUCUGAAACUCAGAAACACAUCAUAAGAGAAGUUGGAAGAAGUAGUUGAUGAUUCUCCUACAACAAAUUGAGUAUUCAUAUUUGAUGUGAAUAAAUGGAAGAAUGAGUAGCUAUAUAUAUAAUAUACCAUGCACAUUCUAUGGUUUUUUCUUGGUAACUUAACUAAUGCUAUAUAUUCUUUAAUUUAUUUUGUACAAUUAUUCUUCAUUAAAUUUUGUUAAUUGGGAUUUUUUUUAAAUUGAUUCUUUACCUUUUGUCUCAUCUUUAAUUUGUUAAAGACUUGAAUGAUAAAAAUUUAAAGUAAGAUUCUUUCUUCCUUAACAACUCAAAAGUUCAUCUCUCCACAUAAUUAUGAUGAUGUUAAGCUUGAUGUCAUAAUCUUUUAAUAAUGGAAUUGAAAACAUCGAUUUGUUCUCAAUUCACAAGUUGGAUUAAACGUUUUUUUUCUUUCUUUUUACCUAAGUAUCACAUAAAUUAUAACGAUAAUUUUUUAAAAGAAAAACAAUUUGUAUUAAUAGUAAAAACUAGGAAACUUUGUCGUAAUAAAGCUAACUACUAGUCUAUUGCAACUAUUAAACAACUAGAGCUAUCAAUAUGGGCUGACCCAUCCCAUCCGGGUUAAUCUAUACAGGUUUUGAAAUAUGACGGGUUAGGCCGGGCUAGCCCAUUUUUGGUGUGGGCCAGAAAAUGGUCGGUCCAACCCACAAGUACGUGGGCUAGGGGCUUGUCGGGCCAGCCCUCUUUUCGUAAAAGUAUAUUUUUUAUAAUUUUUUAAAUUAAAUUAUAAUUUAAAAAUAUUAUCAUAAAUAUCGACAAGAUAGUAUUACACGGUGUUAGUGUUGACACCUAAUUUUGACCCUCCACAAUAAGAAUUAAUUUGUGAGCUUUCUUAAUUCCAAACGAUUUGAAAUAACUAAUUUUAUAAAAAUUCAAAAUAUGUUUCAAAGAUAUUUUAGGAAUUUUAUUCACUUUUAUAAUAUUUUAAAUAAUAAAUAUGUUUUAUAUUGUUACGUAUGUAACUAAUAUAUUUUAUAAACACUUGAAAAAUAUCUUGAAAAAGAUUUUUUUUUUUUUAUUAUUAUUAUCAUUUAUUUUUAACGUUAAACACUUUACUAAUUUAAUUUAGUUUGAAUUAUAGGUAUGUUUUUGAAUUAAUUAGUUUGAUUGAGUUAAUUAUUUUUUAGUUUGUUAAAUUUAAGAAGCUUGUUAAUUGAUCUUGUUUAAAUUCAUCUCAUUUAGCUUUUGCCGAAUUUGCUAAUUAAAUCCGAUUUAGCUAACUUCCUAAUUCCCAUUAGGUCAUAAUUGCUUCCAUGUGGCUUAAGCCAAUUUAAAUCUCACUUGGACCAAAUCUAAGAUCAGACUUGGGCAUGUCCUCAAUUUCCAAUUCCCAAGCUCAUUUCCCCUUUGGUUUCCAAUUAAGCCGAGCCCAACCCAUCCUUCUCCAAAUUUCCCGACCCAAUCCAACACAACUGACCCGACCCGGCCCAUUCCAACUCUAAAAGAAACUCAAAUGUCCUUCUCUUUUCCAAGGUCCCAGAAGCAGUUCCAAACGUUCACAGACCGACAAAGCAACAGCAGUCCACGGCAUCCUCACGAUGAGAGACGAUUCCAAAGGAAUCAACACGGAAUAUUCGAAUCACAAUAACCAACGACGUCAAUUCCGAUACACGGCGUGAAAGCAUGGAGAUACACGCAAGCAGUGAGGAACGAGACGGACAGAGGGCAGUACUAUUCCUUGUCUUCUUCCUCCAAUGUCUCUCUCAACCAGUACUAUGGCAGUAGCACGCGGUUUUCACCUUUCCUCUUUCGGAAUGGGGCGAAAACCUCAGAAGAAGGGUGUGUGUCCGAAUUUGUGAAAGGUUUUUGGAAUUCAAAUUUAUGGGACUUGAAUCCGAAAUUGCAUUUGUCCUUUCCCCCCACAAUCUACCCUAAUUUUCCCAUAUAUAAUCAUCUCUUCUAUUAAGUCUUAAGAAGUCAUUAAGUCGGUUAGUUAGCUCAUUAAUUUAAUAGUCAGUUAGUUAGUUAUUAAAAUCUGUUGUAACUAACUACACUGCUUGUAACUAACUACACUGCAGAAAGCCAGCUAAGGCAUCGUGUAUAAAUAGACAUUCAAUUGUCAUUGUUGACACAAGAAAUAAAAUUCCUUUCUAUCCUUUGUUCAAAGUGCUCUCAAUUCAAUUGUUCAUCAUCUGUGAUUGAUGAAAGUUAACAUGGUAUCAGAGCAGUGAUCAUAAGGGAUUGAUCUGCGUAGAAGAGAAGAACCCAGAGGUGCUGAGAAGCUGUAGAAGAAGCUCCUGAAACAAGCAUCAAUGGGGACUAAUGAAGUUACAGAUCUAAGUACAACAAUAGGAACAAAUGAGAUUACAACUCUAAAUCACAAUCACCCGCUUUAUCUCCAAGCUUCAGAUGCACCUGGAGUAGUUCUGGUUCCAAUCAAAUUAACAGGGCCAGAAAAUUACGCUUUAUGGAGCCGAUCGAUGAAAUUGGCUCUUAGAGGAAAAGGGAAACUUGGAUUCAUUGAUGGAUCUUGUGCGAAGACAACUUAUAAAGGAGGAUUAGAGGAACAAUGGGAGAAGUGCAAUGCAAUAGUACUGUCAUGGAUUGCGAGCACAGUUACGAGUGAAUUACUGCCAGGGAUUAUAUACGCUUCAAAUGCUAAGAGAGUUUGGGAAGAUUUUCAGGAGAGAUUUGAUAGAUCAGAUCUCACUAGAAUUUACCAUUUGUGGUCAGAAAUUGCAGCUCUCAAACAAGGUACUGAUUCUGUGACCUCUUACUACUCGAAAUUGAGAGAUUUAUGGGCUGAAUUAGAAGUAAUGGUUCCAUCACCUGGUUGUACAUGUGCGGAUUCAACUUCUUAUAUGGAGCAUUUAAGAUCUCAGAAACUGUUGCAAUUCUUAAUGGGAUUGAAUGAGAGUUUUGGACAUAUCCGGAGUAGCAUUCUAGCUAGGAAGCCUGUAGUGACAGUAAAUGAAGCAUAUGCAGUUGCAGCACAAGAAGAAAGUCAAAGAGUCCUAGGUGUUUUGGAUAAAAGCAGGGAUCCGUUAACACUUUUAGCAGGGAAAACUCAAGGAUAUAGAUCAAAGCCAAAGAAGUUUGUGCCACCAGGAACAAUUUGCGAUCAUUGUGGUUUCAAAGGCCAUUUCAAGGGUGAUUGUUAUAGGUUGGUAGGGUAUCCACCAGAUUUUCAAAGCAAGAGAAGAGGACCUGAUGGUUUUAAGCCAGAUUUCAAGCCAAAUGCACACUUAAGUAAGAAUACUGAUGAUCUCACCAACAGAGGAAAGCUUACUGAAAAUUAGGGGUCAUCAUCUCAAUAUGAGGAUUUGGGAAACAAAGUGGGUCGAGCAGGAAUAUCAGGAUGUGUUGCUAACUUGUCAGGUAUGAAUUCUUUAGAUUUCAAAACAGACACAGUUUAUGAGUGGAUAAUUGAUAGUGGAGCUACACAUCAUAUUACACCUAAUGAGGAGUUAUUAAUUGCCAAUAAAAGAACACAUAAUAGUGUUGGAGUUCAAGUUCCAACAGGGAAGAGGUGUGACAUCAAGAGUAUUGGAGUUGUGAAGAUUUUAGAAGGGGAAGAACUUCAGAAUGUGUUGUAUGUGCCAGAUUUCAAAUUUAGCUUGUUAUCAGUUGCAAAGCUAACCAGGGAACUUGCUUGUUCAGUUUCUUUCUAUCCUGACUAUUGUAUAUUUCAGGGACUUUACAAUGGCAAGGUAUUGGGGAUUGGUAAAGAAAAGGAAGGACUAUACAUACUAGAGAAUCAACUAAGGUCAAUAGUUCAUGCUGUGACUGUUGACAAGGGGAAUGGAGAUACAAAGCUAUGGCACUUAAGGCUAGGACAUGCUUCACCUGGAGUUCUAAAACACAUCCAGUCUUUGAAACAUCUCUCAAAUAAAGAGGUGCAACAUAACUGUGAGAUAUGUCCUUUAGCAAAGCAAUGUAGAUUGAAAUUUCCUAUUAGUACAAGUAAAACAUUUGGAGUUUUUGAACUGGUUCAUGUAGAUGUUUGGGGACCAUAUAGAAAGCCUACUUUUGACAAGAAAUAUUAUUUUGUUACUAUAGUAGAUGACUAUAGCAGGUACACAUGGUUAUGUCUCAUUCAUUCCAAGAGUGAAGUCAUUGUAGUACUCAAAGAUUUCAUUGCUUUAAUAAAAAAUCAGUUUGGCUUGUCUGUGAAAGCUUUAAGGUCUGAUGAUGGUACCGAAUUUUUCAGUUCAUCAGUUGUUGAUUUACUUGCUUCAUGUGGUAUUGUACAUCAAAGUAGUUGCGUUUAUACCCCACAACAGAAUGGUACAGUAGAAAGGAAACACAGACAUAUCUUGGAAGUUGCAAGGGCUUUAAAGUUUCAAAGCUCUCUUCCUAUUCAUUUUUGGGGUGAGUGUGUUAGGACUGCUGUGUACUUGAUAAAUAAAUUGCCUACUGAAGUGCUGGGAGGGAGAUCACCUUAUGAGAUGCUACAUCAGAAAAUACCUGGUAUUGAUCAUUUAAGAGUGUUUGGUUGCCUAUGCUAUGCAACUAGGUUGCCUAAAGGAGAUAAGUUUGCCCCUAGAGCUAGAAAGUCAGUUUUUCUAGGAUAUUCUGAAGUUCAAAAGGGUUACAGAUUAUAUGAUUUAAUUGAGCAGACAUUCUUUGUGAGCAGAGAUGUGGUCUUCAAAGAGAAUAUUUUUCCUUAUCAAACAGAUACAUUGUCUCCUGAGUCAGACAUGUUUGAGUUAAAUAGCUCAGAAUUGAGUCAUGUAUAUUCAAAUGAGGAUGUGGUGUUCGAUACAACAGUGGUUGAACCAUCUGUCUGUGGUAUUGAACCACCCGAGGUUGAUGCAGUUCCUGAUGUUGUCACUGCAGUCACAGAGGAUAGUGAUUCACUAUAUGAAGGGAAUCCAAUCUCAUCACCAGAUAUACAACCUGUCAUUAUUCCAUAAACACAUGUCAGACCUCCCAGAAACAUCAAACCACCUAGUUGGCUUGAUGACUACAUUACUAAUCCUAAGAAAUCUGCCAAUUGUACAUAUCCCAUCUCAAAUUACCUUCAAUAUUCUCAUCUGUCAGCAGCUUACCAAGCCUAUUUAGGUACUUUUUCUCAACCAGUUGAGCCUAAAUCCUUCAAGGAAGCAUCUUUAGAUGACAGGUGGGUCGCAGCUAUGAGUGAUGAAAUUGCUGCCCUUGAGAGCAAUCACACCUGGGAUAUAGUCGAUUUGCCACCAGGUAAACAAGCCAUUGGUUCUAAGUGGGUAUUCAAGAUCAAACACAAUGCUGAUGGAUCUAUAGACAAGUACAAGGCAAGGUUGGUAGCUAAGGGGUACAAUCAAAAGGAGGGGUUAGACUAUCAUGAGACUUUCUCACCAGUUGCCAAAAUGGUAACAGUGAGAACUCUCAUUACAAUUGCAGCUUCCAAAGAUUGGCCUCUCAUUCAGAUGGAUGUUAACAAUGCAUUCCUACAAGGUGAUUUAUAUGAAGAGGUUUAUAUGGCUUUGCCACAAGGGUUUCACAGACAGGGGGAGACUAAAGUAUGCAAACUGACCAAGUCUUUAUAUGGAUUAAAGCAGGCCUCUAGACAAUGGAAUAUUAAAUUGUCUACUGCUCUACUGGAAACAGGCUAUGUUCAGAAUUCACAUGAUCAUUCCUUGUUCACAAAACAUUCAGGAGAUGAUAUAGUGAUGAUCCUUGUAUAUGUUGAUGAUUUGUUAAUUACAGGAAACAGUCAAAGUUUGAUUGAGGAUGCUCAAAAGACUCUACACAACAAAUUUAAAGUGAAAGACUUGGGGCAACUUAGAUACUUCCUAGGAAUUGAGAUAUUGAGAUCAGAUAAGGGAAUCUUACUCAAUCAGAGAAAGUACACCUUGGAACUGCUGUCCACAGUGGGGUUAGGUGGUGCUAAGCCAGUUUUUACUCCUAUGGAGAUGAACACAAAGCUUACUACAAUAGAGUAUGACUCAAUGGUUGGAAAUAAAGAUGAUCCUGUACUAACUGAUGUACAUAGCUAUCAACAGUUGAUAGGGAAGCUGAUUUACUUAACAAUCACCAGGCCAGACAUUUGUUUUGCAGUACAGGUCCUAAGUCAAUUUAUGCAACAUCCCAAGAAGUCACAUUGGGAUGCAGCACUAAGAGUCCUUAGAUACCUGAAGGGAUCACCAGGACAAGGAGUAUUAUUGAAGAAAGGACCAAUUACAAACUUGACAGCCUUCUGUGAUUCAGACUGGGCUGCAUGCCCCAAUACUAGGAGAUCAGUAACAGGAUAUGUUAUUAUGCUUGGAGAGUCUAUGGUCUCAUGGAAAUCAAAGAAGCAACAUACAGUGAGUAGGAGCUCAGCUGAGGCUGAGUACAGAAGUAUGGCAGGGGCAGUAUCAGAAAUUAUUUGGUUAGUUGGUUUACUGAAAGAUCUGAAAAUAGAUGUCACUACUCCAGUCAGGUUGUGUUGUGAUAGCAAAGCAGCUAUGCAAAUUGCUUCAAACCCAAUCUUUCAUGAAAGGACUAAGCAUAUUGAAAUAGAUUGUCAUUUUGUGAGAGAGAAGCUCAAAGAUGGCCUAAUCAAACCAGAGUUUGUUGGCACUAAAUCUCAGUUGGCAGACUUGCUUACAAAAGGCUUAGGAACAGUACAACAUCAUUUUCUUCUGUCCAAGUUAGGAGUUCUUGAUGUUUUCCAUCCUAGCUUGAGGGGGAGUAUUAAGUCUUAAGAAGUCAUUAAGUCGGUUAGUUAGCUCAUUAAUUGAAUAGUCAGUUAGUUAGUUAUUAAAAUCUGUUGUAACUAACUACACUGCUUGUAACUAACUACACUGCAGAAAGCCAGCUAAGGCAUCGUGUAUAAAUAGACAUUCAAUUGUCAUUGUUGACACAAGAAAUAAAAUUCCUUUCUAUCCUUUGUUCAAAGUGCUCUCAAUUCAAUUGUUCAUCAUCUGUGAUUGAUGAAAGUUAACAUCUUCUAUUCAUUGUAGAGGGGGGGAUUUUUUUUUUUGGAGUUGAAAAUUUUAGAAAAAGAAACAUUGAGAAGUAGCGAGAAAGCAAGAAGAAAAUAUUGGAGAAAAGUGGGGAGUUUUUCUUGAGCGAUUUUUACACUUGAGAAAUUUGGAAUACAUUUUAGUUUUUGGUUUGUAAGAGCCUUUGCUCGAAGUCAGUUCGGAUAUCCCGAUUGUUUGCUCGAUUUUUUGAAGUGGUGUAAGAGGUCGCCGCUCGUUUCGGCUCGUUCUGUCUCGGCUUCGUUGCACCUUUAAAGGUAACACCUCUUUCUUUGUAUGAUUUUUCUUCCUUUAUAUUUUAAGAUGGUGUUUUACUUGUAUCCUGGAAGUUUGCUUCCUGCUGAUAGUUAUUAAGUUCUUGACGUUCUGAUACACCUUAGUUGCGAUACUCUAGUUAUUUCGAGUAUCGUUUUCGAUCUUGUUGAUUCGUGCCUAGAUUUGCUGCUUCUUUGUUGGUUUUAUUUAAGGGUGUUUCACUAAUCUUUUCUUGAAUUUAUUGGUUUGAAUUCCACCGAGCAUGUAUGCUUCGUUUCACUCGUUCAUUAACGUCAGCAUCUGUAGGCUCUCCCUUUGCUGCUUGCCUUUGCUUAACCUGUUCAACAAGUAUGUUUGUCCAGUUUAGCGAUUGAUUGAGAGUGUUCAAUGUCUAUUGCUGUUUUUGAAGUAAAAUUGCAGCUUUGCAUCGGGUUAUUUAAGUAUCGGCUAAUCGUCCUAUGUUUUUGAGGCAUAGUAAUUAAUUUUCUUGCAUGUUGCCGCUAAUUAAAAUUGCAAUGGCUCUUCUAUCUUUGUCUAAAUCUAAAGAUGUCUCCUGAUGUUGGCUCGCCAUCUAUCUUGGCCAUUUACGUGUUUCUUUGCUUAAUAAUGCCCCUUUUCUCUGCAUUUUUCUUGUAUUUAUUCAUGUCUACUCGUGUUUGUGUCCGGCAUGCUCUUUAUCCCUUAAUGAUCUCAUCACUGGCUCCCCAACUUGUUUGGAAUUUGAUCCCGCCAUCAGUAAUUAAUUUUGUUUUCUGUACUGAAAGUCCCGGGUGACAAUUACUUAAGAAUGUGGAGAAUGACAGCCUUUAUUGUGCUAUUAGUCUCCUCGUCUGCAAUAAGUUGAUUUUUUCAGCUAAAAGUAGUAUUGUUGAGAUAAAUAUUUAACAAAGAUUCCGACUUGUUCAUCUUAUGUCUAAAAAACAAUAAUCAUAUCCCUUGGCUGAUUCACGUGUUUCCCGAAGUGUGCUAAGUAAUGAGUUGUUUCGGUCUCAAAUGUAUAUCCUGGCUGCCGUAGUUGCCAAAUUGGACUUUAGUAAUUUCAUGUUGUCUUUUUCCUUUGGUCUACAAUUUAAAAUUUAAUUAUUAUUUUUUCUAUGUGUCCACACUUGCCUAUUUCAACUACUGGUAAUUUGCUAAAAAAUGGAGUGAGUCGGAGGCAAUAGUAUAAGCGUGAGGAGUCUGGUCAUCUCGGCUUGCUCUUGGUUUUUCUUUUCAUGUAUUUGCAUUUUUUGUUCACAGCUACUGCUAGUUGCUUGCAAUAUAAAUGGGUUAUGUUCCUUUUGAUACGUUCAUCAUUUAGUGACUAGUUCUGAGAUGUUAUUACUGGUUACUGAUUCUCUUGUUCUUUUCUUCGUUUUGCAUGAAAAAUCUGUCUGAGUUCAUUACGAACUCCUAUCUUCCCUCUUGCAUUUUGGGAGAGCCGCAAAGGCUCAAAAACUCCCUUUAUCGAGUUAGCCGGCCACUAAAAUCAAAGAACAAGUCCCUCAAAUCGACGAACAGGUCCCAAAGGUGGGGAAAUGCGGAAGCGGAGGAUAAUUGAAAAGAUCGGGCCAAAGGCCCACUCUUUAUAUAAAGAGGAUUGUAUUUUUUAUUUAUUAGGCCUAAGUCCAGUUAUUUGCUAUUAUAUUGUUAGAAUUUAGGACAGGUGGCGAGAAUUGGGCCUUGUGGCCCAAAAUGAAAUUAGGCCCAAGUGUUGGUCCAGGCGGACAGAAAAAUCAAACUUGGGCCCGAGUCUCUUUCCCUUUCUAUUUUAUUGUGUUUAUCUACUAGUUAAUAUUUGCCAUUAAUCUUAAGAUUAACAAUUCAAAUCCCCAAAAGACGCUCAUUUUCGCUUUAAAUCUUUUUUACUAAACCAUUCAUCUCUUAACAAGACUUAAAGAAAUAAUUUUAUAAGAUAACCACUCAGAUAAUAUUUAAAUAUUUCCCUUUUUUCCUUUUUAAAAAAAAAAUAGCUCUAACUAUAAAAUAGUUCAAUCAUGUUAUUCGAAUUAAGUUAAAGUAUUUUUAGCCAAAUAAUUAAUUGUCGGAUAACCGCUUAUUAGCGGGGAUUUUGGGUGCUUUCAAAUCCUUUCUGAAAUGCUAAUAUGAACCUCGAACCCCCUUAAAUAUUUUUCAAUUGAUUUCCUGUUUUAAUCAUUUGAAAAUCAGAUUUCUUGAUUUUUCUUAAAAAUUAAGUGGCGACUUUUAAAAACAGUCUUAAAUUAUUUUAAAAUAAAACAGUUAGUGUUACUAUUUGUUAAUCAAAUCCACAAAUAAAAUUAUCUUUAUAUUAUUAAGUUUUAUUUCAAGUAAAAGCAUAAAUAGCUAAAUAAAAAUAUUAACCUAAUUAUUUUUCAAUAAUCAUAAUAAAAUAUAAAAACUAUGACAAUAUUCCAUAGGCUACGUAGUGAUUCCUAGAAAUUUUAGGAAAAUUUUAUUUUAUGUAAUACAUAUUUUAUAAACAUAAUUUAUAUUUAGAUUGUAAUAUUUCAAACUUUAGACUGAUUUUGAGUUUAGACUCUUGUUAUUUUUAAUACUCUAUUUAUUAUUUAUUUUUAAUUAAUUUUUAUUUGGCUCACGGGUUGGCCCCCUAUCCAUAUUUCUCAAGCCCCUCAAAUUGGCAGACUUAUUCAGGCCAGGCUAAAAAAUCACCUUUUUCUUAAAUGGGCUCCAAAAAUCAUAGCCCAACCCUAUCAAAUCACGGGUUAGGCUAGGCCGGCCCAACGGGCCUAGCCCAUAUUGACGGCUCUAUAAACAACUAAUAAAACUAAUUGGAUCAUUCUUACUGCACCAUUGGUCCUAAUCCUAUACCUAUCAUACUGAUAUAGAGGCGAAUUCAGAACUUAAAAUUUAUGAAUUCUUAUAAAAAAAAAACUAAAAUUUAUGAACGAUAUAAUUGAGUUCAUAAUCAAAUUAUACUAAAUACUUAAUGAUUUUCUUAGUACAUAUAAAUAAUAUGAAUAAAAUCUAUUGAGUUCACACUAACCUCUCUAUAGUGUGGCAGGUAAAAUCAAUAAUUUUGAUCCAAAUUGUACUUUGUAUUUAUGAUAAUAAAUUUGUUUGUUAUGUGUAAAAAAAUAUUCGGAACCCAAUCCGACCAGUAAACGCCAGUAGUAGUCAUAGUAUUUGGAACAAAGAAAAGCAAGGGAAUAACAAACCAUAUCUUCUGCUCCAACUUCAUUUUCUUAUAGUAUUUUUGGAGGGAAAAAAGGGAAUACAAAUUAAAUAUUAUCAGAAUGCCAACCAAAUACUGACAUUGUGCUCUAUCUUUACUGUGGAAAAAAAUUAAAUGUAAUUUAUUUAUGCAGUUUUUUAAUCUUCCAGGGGUCCCAUUUUUCUAUAGAUUGAAUUAUCUUUAAUAUUUUAUGACAAAAUACUGUAAAGUGGUGUAUAGUGGCAUAUAUAUAUACCAUUUGUAUAUUCCUCAAAAUCAUGAUAAUACCAUUUGUUUCUAACUUUUUAAUUGUACUAAUUGAAUAGAUUAACUGUACAAUAUACUUUUGUUUAGUUCAAAAUUUUCCUCUUUGUACUUUAAGCUUUGGUGUCUAUUGUUUUCCACAUUUUAUGAGGUGUUAGGACUAGCAAAAGGCAUAAUACAUAAACAUACAUUCAAACUAGGUCUUAGUUAGAGUGAUCAUUUAGACACCUCCAAAAUUUAUGUAUCACGUCAGUAUAGGGUGUCCACGAGACACAUUAAGGAUGAGUUGGAGUGUUUAGCUGUUAGUUGAGAUGUCUAGAUGUACAUUCUCAAUUAGUUACGGUUGCGAAAUUUUAAUUGGAUGACAAAACUAGGAUCGAAGUUUCGAGUGUUUGGCAUCUGACAGAUGAAAAAAAAAAUCUGAAAUUUAAGAACAAACUUUUUCUUACAUAACGAACACAUGAAAAUAAGUAAGAAACGUACUUAUUCUCCGGAAAAACAUUUUCCAAUAAGACAUUUUAGAGGCAUUGUUAUCAUUUGGUAGAUCCAGGUCCAUGACCUAUUUCUAUGGAACACAUUUUCCAUGGUACUGAACACACUCUCAGAACUUUGCUCGUUGAUAUCCACUAAUACGGACCUCACUUGUAGGAUUUCAUUGGAUAUGUUGUCGUUGUUUGAGUUGAUAUGCCCUGCUGAAAGUCUUUGUGGGUAGGAGGGAGUAUAAGAAUGAUCCACAACUCCCGGCAACGAUGUAACAUUACCAUGUUGGUCCAAGUAUAACAAAUGGAUCCCUAUUUUCUUUACUGUGCCUCUGCCAGUUUCAUUCUCUACUGUUAUCUGUUCCCCGCCUUUGAUAUUCAGGCCUUUAAAAGGUGUAUCAUUUGAGUAAGAGAAGUAAUAUACAUAUGAUACUUCGUGACUGUCAGAUCUAUCACAAGGCCAAAUCCAUGAAAAACCUGAACGCUUUAUAUGGGCAACAGUAACAGCGAAGUGUAUAAGCUCAUGUACAUCGCAAAGGCGGCAAACAAACCAGAGAACCAUUCCUAAGAACUUGUUAUUAUGUACUGUGGGCAUAGUCAAACAGAUAGAUGUAGCUGUUACUUUAUUGCUGCACCAAUCUGGAAUCUCAUUGCUUUCGUGAUUAAUUUGUAAUGACAGCUUCAUCAGACAAAUUAAGACGCAAUUAGAUCAUUAAUUAUUAAUAUGAUACGAGAGAUAGAUCAUUAAUUAUUAAUAUGAUACUAACCUCAUACCGUUGAUGUUUUCUAGACGGAAUUGAUAGAGCAUGGGCACUAAAGAAGCCUUCAUUGAAUGGAUUCUGCAGAAGAGUACAAUUAAUCAUGCCCAUCUUCUCUAUUGAAGGGAGGUUGUCCAACCCUGUAAUCUUGACCAGUUUUUGGCAAUUCCUAAGUUCAAGAGUUGUAAGGUACUUUAAAUUUGAUAUUGACGGGAGUGUUUGAAGGUUCUCACAAUCAUUCAAAUGCAAGGAACUCAACCGUGGUAACUUGGAAAAAUCAAAGGGUAGAUUGAGGAAACUGUUGCCGCUCAAAUCUAAAUCAUGUAAGUUGGAUAAACUCCCAAUAUCCCUAGGAACAUCAGCCUCCGAGAAACCACAAUAUCGAAGGCUUAACAUCGUAAUAAAAAUUGGCAAGAAUUCUACGCAGCGGACUCUUCUUUGAGAAAACCUCCUUUUGGUCUCCAAGUAUUGACCUCCUAAUUCCAAAAUUAUAAGAUUUCCUAGCAUUUCAACAGAUCCAGGCAAUUCUUUUAUACCUGUUUCACCUGCAUUAAGAAUACUUAGGCUUUGCAUAUCUCCAAUGUCAACUGGCAGUGUUUGUAAAGAUAAGCAGUCAUUAAUGUACAAGUAUUGAAGGGAUUUUAGCUGGCAUAUGCUGCUCGGAAGAUCCGUAAUCUUUUUGCAACCAUUCAAUUUAAGAUCAGUUAGUCUGUCCAAAUUUCCUAUUGAUGGAUGAAUCUCCUUUAGACUUGAGCAAUUCUCAAGCCACAAAGUCUUGAGACUUCGUGAACCGUUGAAGUUUGGAGUUUUUCUAAGGCUCUUGCAAUCAGAGAGAUCCAGCUUUUUCAAAUUUCUACAAUACUAAAAGUAAACAAAAUAUUGUUUCAAUUAAGAUUUUCUUUCUCUUAAACAUUACACAUAAAAUUGCAGAAUUGAGUAACGGACCUGCAAAUUCAAACCAAAUUCUUGGAUAUUGCUCCCUUUCAUAUUCAGAAAUACAAGUUUCUCAGAUGGAAAAUUUGACGGUAUACAUUUUAAAGGACAUCCUUUCCAAGACAGCCAUCUGAGCUCCUUGGACAAUAGCUCAAAAUCUCCACUAAUAUGUAAGUCAUCAAUUUUAAGCACCCUAAGAUAUUUCAUUUUCUGAAAUGCUUUGGUGCUCACCUUCACACCCUUUAAUGCCUGUCGUUCUACCACCAGUAUUUCUACAUUUUCAGAACCCUGCAGUUUAGUAAAAAGAAAAGUACUAUAAGACCAUGUUUAAGUAUGAUAAAUUAAGAAAGAGAAAUGCUUUAUACAAAUUGAAGGUCAAACAAAGAGAAUAAAUUAUCUACCAAUAAAACUAAAUUCACACAUUAUAUCCAACUAAAGGAUAUUUAUUUGAUAAUUUUGUCUUUGAUAGUUUGAGUGUUUAGACUCCAGUAAAUGUUCAUUUCAAGUACAAAAUGGUUCAAACAUCGAGAGAUAAUUUACUUGCCGGAGAAGAAUUAAGCACAAAUGCAUAAAUUAUUAGCAAAUAUAUAUCAAUAUAAAUGAAAAAUGAAGAAGAAUAAGUAUUAACCAAGAUAAAGAUAAUGAAAUUUACUGACUUUAUUUCCUUGUAGAACAUCAAUGGCUUCUAGAGGGUUGAACAAUCUACUUCGUUUUCCAGGGUCUUGAGAUUCCAUGCGAACGAUUUCUCUUCCCAUUUCCUGCACUAGAUCAUGCAUCACCAAACCAGGCCGAUCCUCCCUUUGGAGCAAGUUCCUUUGGACUAAGGUUGAAAUUGCACUUUCAGAAUAAAAACCACACGCGUUUAAUGUUUUGGCAACUUCAUCCUCAUAACAACCAUGGAAGGCACAUGCGAUAUCAAGGAAAACACUCCGAGUAUUGACAUCAAGUCCAUCAAAGCUUAUCUUGAGAAUCUUUUGAAUAUCACCAUGAGGAAUUGCUUUUAGUUUUUUGAACUCGUAUCUCCAUUCUUUAACGGAUCUCCCUAGCAGAUGUGACCCCAAUGUCACAAGAGCUAAUGGUAGCCCAUAUGAAUAUUUUAUUAUGUCUUGUGCCAGUUUAACAUAUUCUUGUGGUGGAGAAAGACUGUUAAAAGCAUGGCAAUAAAAAAGUUGCUGAGCUUCAUUUUCAUUUAAAAGUUUGGCCUGGUAUAUCUCAGUUGUUGUAAGCCCAUACAACAAAUGCUCGUCUCGGGUUGUAAUAAUUAUUACACUACCAGAGCCAAACCAACUUCUUUCUCUUGUUAAGGAUUCUAAUUGGCUUCUAUGAUCCACGUCAUCAAGAACAAUUAGAACCUUCUGAGACCCAAGUCUUGCUUUGAUGAGAUUAACACCUUCAGCAACACUAUCAACUUCAAAUUCCUUAGUUUUGAGGAUUUGAUAAAGUAGUUUCUCUUGAAGCUUGACCAGACCCGAUUCUUCAGUUUUUGAUCUAAUGUCAGAAAGGAAGCAAGUACCAUCAAACCGUUGAAAUAUUCGAUUAUAGAUAGCUUUUGCCAAAGUUGUUUUUCCAAUUCCACCAACGCCACAUAUACCAACCAUGCGAACUUCAUGCUCACAUCCACUUUGCAGUAACACCUCUAUAUGUUUGAUAGGAGAAUCUAAUCCAAUUGGGUAAUGAGCAACAUCUAGAGGUGUCUGGUUAACCUCUUGCAGAACUUGUUUUAUAAUACCUUCAAUAAACUUUGAUUCAUGCCUACAGUUUUUGCAACAAUAAAUACUUAAGUAUUUUAAAAUAUUUGAUGAACAAAAUAAAAACCAAUAGCCAAAAGAUAACAAAGUUUAUAGAAUGGAGAUUAUCCCUUGUCCUAAUCUACAGUUUAAUUUGUCCUUAUCAUGUACUGUGGGCAUAGUGAAACAGAUAGAUGGAGCUGUCACUUUAUUGCUGCACCAAUCUGGAAUCUCAUUGCAUUCGACACAAAUUCGUAAAACUUGCUUCUUCAGAGUGUGAAAUGAUAGAGCCUGGGCACUAAAGAAGCCUUCAUUGAAUGGAUUCUGCAGAGAAGUACAAUUAAUCAUGUCCAUCUUCAUUAUAGAAGGGAGGUUGUCCAACCCUGUAAUCUUGACCAGUUUUUUGCAAUUCCUAAGUUCAAGAAUUUUAAGGUACUCUAAAUUUGAUAGUGACGGGAGUGUUUGAAGAUUCUCACAAUCAUUCAAACGCAGCUCUCUCAAGAAUCGAAACUUAGAAAAAUCACAGGGUAGACAAUGGAAACUGUUGCCACUCAAAUCUAAAGAUCUUAAGGAGGAUAAACUCCCAAUAUCCCUAGGAAUAUCAGCCUCCGAGAAACCACAAUAUGAAAGGCUUAGAUAUGAAAUAAAAAUUGGCAAGGAUUCUACGUGAUGGACUCUUCUUUGAGAAAAUCUCCUUUUGGCCUCUAAAUUUGGACCUCCCACUUGCAAAUUUAUAAGAUCUCUUAGCAUUUCAACAGAUCCGGGCAAUUGCUUUAUACCUGUAUCAAGUGCAAAAAGAUAUCUUAGACUCUGCAUAUCUCCAAUGUCAACUGGCAGUGUUUGUAUUCAAGGGAUUUUAGCUGGCAUAUGCUGUUUGGAAGAUCCGUAAUCUUAUUGCAACCAUACAAACGCAGAUCAGUUAGUAUGUCCAAGUUUCCUAUUGAUGGAUGGAUCUCCUUCAGACUCGAGCAAUUCCAAAGCCACAAAGUCUCGAAACUUUGUGAACCAUUGAAGUUUGGAGUACUUCUGAGGCGCUGGCAAUCAGAGAGAUUCAGCUUCUUCAAACUUGUACAAUACUAAAAGAAAACAAAUUAUAGUUUCAAUUAAAAUUUUCUUUCACUUAGUUGAAAUAUAACAGUACACAUGAAAUUGCAGAAUUGAGUAACGAACCUUCAAUUUCAAACCAAAUUCUUGGAUAUUACUCUCUUGCAUAUUCAGAACUACAAGUUUUGGACAAUAGCUCAAAAUUUCCACUGAUAUGUAACUCGCCGUCAAUUAUAAGCACCCUAAGAUUUAUCAUUUUCUGAAAUGCUUUGGUGCUCAAGUUCACACCUUUUAAUGCCCAUCGUUCUACCACCAGUACUUCUACAUUUUUGGAACCCUGUAGUUUAAUUAAAAGAAAAGUACCCCAUAAGACCCCAUGUUAAGUACGAGAAAUUAAGAGAGAAAAAUGUGUUAUACAAAUAUAAGGUCAAAGAAUUAACCUGAAUACAUUACGUAUCAAGAAAAAUGAAUUCACAAAUUAGAUGAUUAGAUCCAACUAAUUGCUCAAAAAAGCUACAAACUGCAGUUAAAGAGAAAUAACACCAAAAGAAUAAACAAAGAAAACAAUAGCUUAUAGAAACUUGAUAACGGUACAAAUAAAAGAUAGAACAUACAUAUUAGACUAUAUUUAAAAGAAUAUUUGACAUAUAAAGUUUUUGAACUAAUAAGAUAAAUGUUCCACAAACUAAUUUCCGCAAUCAGAUACAAGCAUAUAGAAAUUUAUAAUUAAACAAAAUGCUCAUUUCAAGUAUAUAGUCGCAGGCAAACAACUAGAGAUAAUUUACUAACCAAAGAAGAAGCACAAAUGAAUUGAAUUCUUGUGGUGACAGUAGAAAUUGUAGGUAAAAGAACGGAAUUAUCCAGUUGGUUAAUAAGCAAAUGUUUAUCAAAUUAAAUUGAAAAUAAAAAGUAUAACCAUGAUAAAGAUAAAGAAUUUACUGACUUUAUUUCCUUGUAGAACAUCACGGACAUCUUGAGGGUCGAACAAUCUACUCCGUUUUCCAGGGUAUCGAGAUUCCAUGCGAACAAUUUCUCUUCCCAUAUCCCGCACUAGAUCAUGCAUCCUCAAACAAAGUUCAUCCCUUUGAAGCAAGUGUCUUUUGACCAAAGUUGCAAUUGCACUUUCAGAAUAAAAACCACAUGCAUAUAAUGUUUUGGUAACUUCAUCAUUAGAAAAUCCAUGGAAGGUGCAUGAGAUAUCAAGGAAAACACUUUGAGUAUCAGAAUCAAGUCCAUCAAAGCUUAUCUUGAGGAUCUUUUGAAUAUCACAAUGAGGAAUUGCUCUUAGUUUUUCGAACUCGCAUCUCCAUUCUUCUACAGAUCUCCCUUGCAAAUGUGACCCCAAUGUCACAAGAGCUAAUGGUAGCCCACCUGAGUAUUUGAUUACAUCUUGUGCCAGCUCAACAUAUCCUUGUGGUGGAGAAAGACUGUUGAAAGCACAACGAGACAAAAGUUGCAGAGACUCAUCUGGAUAUAGUAGUUUGGCCUCAUAUCUCUCAUCUUCUCUAAGCCCACAUAGCAAAUGCUCGUCUCGGGUUGUAAUAAUUAUUACACUACCAGAGCCAAACCAACUUCUUUCUCUUGUUAAGGAUUCUAAUUGGCUACUAUGACCCACGUCAUCAAGAACAAUUAGAACCUUCUUUGACCCUAGUCUUGCUUUGAUUAGAUUGACACCUUCGGCAAUACUGCUAACUUGGACAUCCUUAAUUUUGAGAACUUGCCGGAGUAGUUUUUCUUGUAACUUGACUAGACCAAAUGCUUCAGAUUCUGAUCUAACAUCGGAAAGGAAGCAACUACCACCGAAGUGUUGAAAUAUUAAUUGGUUGUAGAUAGCUUUUGCUAGAGUUGUUUUUCCAAUCCCACCAACGCCACAUAUACCAACCAUGCGAAUGUCAUGCUCACAUCCACUUUGCAGUAAUAACUCUAUAGCUUUGACACGAGAAUCUACUCCAACUGGGUGCCAAGCAACAUCUAGAGGUGUCUGGAUGUUGACCUCUUGAGAAACUUGUUUUAUAAUACUUUCAAUAAAUUUUGAUUCAUUCCUACAUUAUUAUUUUUUUAGCGAAACCAGAAGUUAAAACAAAAAAAUAAGUAAAAACUUCGCAUUUGAUGAACAUUUACAAUAUUAGUUAAUUAUCAUUAGAUUCAAUGUUGCUACCGGCUUUAGGAACAUUUACAAAGAAUGUUGAUUGCCACUAAAAUUACAUAUUUAGCAAUAACUGUCGUUAAUUAAUAGCUGCUAAAGAUCAUUUUUGGUGUAGUGACUUGACAAGGAGAUCAAGGUUGAAGAAAACAAAUGGCCUUCGUUCUCUUCAUACAGGACAUUUUAGAAAAUGGAUUUAAUUCACACAUAUCGAUCUUUUUACCUAUUAGUACAUUCUGACUUGAGAUAGCAUGCUAAUAAUUGCUUCUAUUUUUACCAUAUUAUCAACUAGUACAUUUAUCAAAAACAGUAGUUGUAAUUAUCUAAUAAUAAGCAUAUGAUUGUGUAAAUAUACUUCUACACUCAUUAAAAGUGGACAUUUAUAAUUAUCUUGUAAAUAAGACAAGAUACAUAAUAGUGUAAGAAUUAGUGUAUAUAACUUAGAAGCCGUUUGAAUUAAUAAAUCAUACCCGUCAGCAACAUUUUGCAAAUUCCAUCCAGAUAGAUUUGCGGCUUCAGUCAAUGCAGCUUUCCACUUCUCCACCCUUUGAGCUCCAAACAAUCGUUCCUUAUGUUUUGCCAAAGCUUCACCAAAGGACCCAGUUUGCCUUCGCACUUGAGAAGGAUCAACAUCAUAGAAAAUAGGCAAAACUACCUGAUUUAACCUCUCUCUGCAAUCGAGAAUUUUAACGAGUUCAUCAAGACACCAACUAGACGAAGCAUAAUUUUUGGAGAAAACAACAAUGGCAACCCUAGAUUCUUCAAUUGCUUUCUCAAGUUUGACUGAAAUGACUUCUCCCUUUCUCAAUUCUUCAUCAUCUAUGAAGGUAUUAACUCCGACUUGACACAAUCUGAAAUAAAGAUGACUGGUGAAAUUUUUGCGCGUAUCUUCACCUCUGAAAC
This 63354-nucleotide long non-coding RNA is filed under the name Solanum tuberosum (potato). RNAcentral describes it as "long non-coding RNA (STUB_LNC009463)". The record is from RNAcentral. Lineage: Eukaryota; Viridiplantae; Streptophyta; Magnoliopsida; Solanales; Solanaceae.